Molecule: long non-coding RNA, 61129 nt
Filed under: Hordeum vulgare
Lineage: Eukaryota; Viridiplantae; Streptophyta; Magnoliopsida; Poales; Poaceae
Description: long non-coding RNA (HVUL_LNC004939)
Source: RNAcentral
UCAAGCUCGACAGAUGCAGGACAGACUGUAAAACUAUGCAACGAGCGGCGGAUCUGGCCCUGAUCAGAUGUUUUUCUUAAUUUUUAUUGACGAUCCACGUACAGUUUCCAAGAAAUGGCCGCGACGUAUAAUGCCUUUGCGACCUAGCAAAACCUUAGGUGUUCUUUGUGCGAGCUUAUAGUGGAUAAUGGCCGGUUUUUGGUUCAUAUUCAUGUUUUUGUUCUUAACAGUUUGAUGUUCUUCUCUCUAGCUAUCUGAAACUGUUGUCUAAUAGCCGAGUGAAUCAGUUUGCAGAAAGCAGCAUCGUUACAGGUGCACCACAACCACAAAGUAGCAUCUCAAGAUCGGGCUCCCAGAAUACAUACAAGAAGAAUAAUGGUAAAAUGCAUAAAUUAAAUCAAUGAUGGUAAUUACAGCAGAACAAGAGGGUACACCAAUGUGCGGACGGAAGGGGGGAAAGAGGGAGAGAAAUGGAACAAAGGCUGCAAAGAAACAAUGAAAUGAUACAUCGUGGUGUCAUCUAAAAGACGUAGAUGGCGGCGGCGGCGACGGCCAGCACGAAUGCGGGGCGGAGGCCGGCGNNNNNNNNNNNNNNNNNNNNNNNNNNNNNNNNNNNNNNNNNNNNNNNNNNNNNNNNNNNNNNNNNNNNNNNNNNNNNNNNNNNNNNNNNNNNNNNNNNNNNNNNNNNNNNNNNNNNNNNNNNNNNNNNNNNNNNNNNNNNNNNNNNNNNNNNNNNNNNNNNNNNNNNNNNNNNNNNNNNNNNNNNNNNNNNNNNNNNNNNNNNNNNNNNNNNNNNNNNNNNNNNNNNNNNNNNNNNNNNNNNNNNNNNNNNNNNNNNNNNNNNNNNNNNNNNNNNNNNNNNNNNNNNNNNNNNNNNNNNNNNNNNNNNNNNNNNNNNNNNNNNNNNNNNNNNNNNNNNNNNNNNNNNNNNNNNNNNNNNNNNNNNNNNNNNNNNNNNNNNNNNNNNNNNNNNNNNNNNNNNNNNNNNNNNNNNNNNNNNNNNNNNNNNNNNNNNNNNNNNNNNNNNNNNCUUUCUCUCUCAUUAUUGAUGAUUGAUGGUUUAUUUUCUUCGGCAGGAAUCUUGAGGGAAGCCGAAUAAUAGGUGCGGUGAUGAACUGGUCGUAUAAUUGGAUCGGAUUAUAAAUGGAACACAGUUUUAUGCCGUUAUCCUAAUGAUGAUGAGAGAUCGGAUUUUAUAACAGCCGGAUAUUAAAUGGAAAGAAAAAAACUAAUCUUCUAUUUCUAAAUAGUUAACAUCCACUAGCUAUUUUUUGUAGAUAGGCAGCUAUGCCACUUAGCAAAUUAUGCAUGUAAAUCAUAAAUUACAUUGUUUUUUUGCAUUACUCUUGCAUGCAAGCAUCAUAUCAUCAAUUCAUGCAUAUUACUCAUAAGUUAUUUUUUGCAUUAGAUUUCAUAUUGCCAAUAUAUGUGUUGAUCGCUUACAUCAUACCUAUGUAGUUAACAUUCACGUGUUUGUUAAAAAUGGCAAUCUUUUAACUGUAAUCAUUUUUUCCUCUUUUUAUGCAUGUUAUAUUUUUUAAUUAUUUUUUAAGAUUACAUUUCCUUCCCACUAAUUAUAGAUUUCUUUUGUAACAAGUUUUCAUCUAUUCUUUUAGCAAGUUUCCCGUAGCAAUGCGUUGGGACAUCAUCUAAUUCAUGUAUAAGCGUGUGCUCAUCUACACGCGAGAUGAACAAUAAUUUCAAAAGAAAUAGUAAAAUAUUCAAAAGGAAAUUUCUUGGCAUAAAAUAUGCUCAAGUGUGCAAGGAACAUGUAAAUUUUAGUUGUAUUUGCACAUUUGAGGAGUUUAAAAAAAAGACAAAAUCAGGCCUGAACAAUGUACUUUUUCAAAGUUCCUUUCAUAGUCAAAAUUUGUUUUUUUAUGCCGCAACCUCGUCGAAUGUUCAAGCAUAGUUAAUGUUUGCAUGCACAUUACACAUUUGAGCUGGAUGAUAAAAAAGAAUUUUUGAAAUCAUUUUGUUGUUUUAAAUGAAUUAAUUGUUUAUGCCCUCACUGAAUCGUUGCACUUGGUAUGGUGCUACUCGACACUGAAUCGAUGCCGCUUCUUUAGAAUGCUGAUGAGGAUGGCUUUUUCCUCUGCACCCACCCAUGCCGAUGCAUUGGCCGCCUUCGUUGUUACCAUAUCGACAGCGAGGCGGCCUCAGCCGUCCUCAUCCUCUCCUUCCCACUGCGGGCACGUCGGUCCCGAUGGGACUCAUACUCUGUCGAACCAACGAUGGGAAAGGGAAGAUUUGAAGGUUCUCGAAACCAUGAUGAUCCAGCAUUGGAGGAUCCGAGCGUCCGAUUUCCAUUGACGUUAUGGAGUCGUGUCGGAUAGAUCCUGCUGUAGGCCGAGCGCGGUCACUGGAAAGCAACAGAGUGAAAUGCGGACGGCCAUUGCCUCCUCCAACCUGCACGGGAGGACACCCUAGUUGACGGAUCCGGAUUGAUCAGAAUCAGGUCCGCUACCCGCCAUGUUGGAGAAGGCCGAACAUCGUCGAACAAGAGUUAGGAUGGCAGAGCGGAGUGGAGGAGAGUGGCUAGGGUUUGGUGCGAGAAGGGGAUAGAAACGAAUAUAUGUGGGGUCGGAUGGGUCAGCUUGGGCCGGUUCCGACCCCACAGAACACAUAAACGCCUCGUAUUCGUCUUAAAUUUUGACUGAAUAUGAAGAAUGUCAGUUUGUGUGGACUUUUUAGGCGUUUAUUUGGAUCGCAUUUCGUAACCGUCAAUGGCCAGGCCAUGCGUUUGGGACGGGAUCGGGACGCCCGGGUGUAGAUGUUCCGAGGAUAGCACUUUAGCUUCGGUUACUUUUUGCGAGCUGUUAUCACUCCCUUUGUACCUUCUACAGCUACAAAUAUUCCGGUACAGAGAAAGUAACUGCUAAAAAGUUACUACUAUUUUUUUCUUACCAAGUGAUCAUUGUUGAAGCAUCCUUAAUAGAUGUGCUACCCACAUGGCAGCAUGGGACCCCUGUGCAACCGGAGCAUGUGCAUAAGUUGGGGCUCGGUGUGUAAGUUGAGAUAAGAUAACAUUGUCAUCUCGAAAGAUGCUUUUCUGCCCGGCUUGGACAGCUGAGGCAUGGGUGGCAAAACAGCCGCCUAAAUGCCAGCAGAGGAAUAGGUUCUAUAUUUUCAUAAUAUAACCUCUUGUCCCAAGUCCCAACUCUCAACUCAUCUUAUAACUGUUAGUCUGUUACUGAGGGCAUCCCAUAAAGACGAUAUGCUAAAUAUCCACGGGUAAUCUAGCGAAGCCGGCCAUCCAAACCUACAUGAGUUUGGAUAGGUACAUCUAUUUGUUGAGGAAUAUUGCAUGAAAAACAAAAUAAAUUCUACACACAAGCAAUACCUAUCCAUGAUGAUGAUCAUUUAUAAGAGGAGAGAGUGAAUCUGCUUAUCCUUGUAGAUUGUUAAGCGGAAGCGUAUACAACGUGGUUGAUGUAGUGGAACAUCUUCACGAUCCAAAUCGCAGCCCGUCCCGCGAUCUCAUCACGAUCCGUCCCGCAAUCCCAUCACGAUCCAUUUCGAUCUAGUGUCGAACGGACGGAACCUCCGCGUUCAGCACACGUACAGCUCGAUGAUGAUCCCCGCCUUCUUGGUCCAACAAGAGGGGUGAAGAGGUAGAUGAGUUCUCCAGCACGACGAUGUGGUGGUGGUGAUGAUGAACUAAUCGAGCAGGGCUUCGCCUAAGCACCGCCGAAUUAGACUAGAGGAGAAACCGAUCUAGAUGAAGUAGAGGGAGCACGUGGCAAUUAGGGUUAGCUCUUCCCUCUAAAUCCUCAAAUAUAUAUAAGAGGGGAGGGGAGGAGGCAGCCAAAAACCCUCUAGGGGUUCGGCUGAAUAGGAGGAGGUGGAAGAGUCCACCUCCAAUCCUACUCCAAGUAGGAUUCCUUUCCUACUUAGAAUCCUUCCCUUCCUUUGGGUUUUUUUCCACCUCUAGCCGCAUGAGUCUUAUUGGCUGGUUUGGCCAGCCCACUAGGGGCUGGUUUAACUCCUCUCACAGCCCAUGAGGUCUUUUGGGUCGAGACACCCCUCCUGAUGGCCCCUGGUACCCUUCCGGCACUCUCGGUACACUACCGAUGAGCCCAAAACCUUUUCGAUGAUCAAAAUAGGACUUAUAUAUUAAUAUUUACCUCGGGACCCUUCAGGACCUCCUCGUGGCAUCCAGGAUCUCAUACGGGACUCGGAACAACCUUUGUUCACCAAACCCUAGAACUUACCAAUACCGAAACGUCACUGAACCUUAAGUGUGCAGACCGUGCGGGUUCGAUAACUAUGCAGACAUGACCUGAGACACUCCCCUGUCAAUAACCAAUAGCGGGACUUGGAUGUCCAUAUUGGCUCCUAUAUAUUCUAAGAAGAUCUCUAUCGGUUGGACCUCUAUGUCAAGGAUUCAGUUAAUCUCGUAUGAUGUUCCCUUUGUCCUUCAAUAUGUUACUUGCCCGAGAUUCGGUCGUCGGUAUCUCCAUACCUAGUUCAAUCUCGUUACCAGCAAGUCUCUUUACUUGUUCCGUAAUAUAAGAUCCCGUGACUAACUCCUUAGUCACAUUGCUUGCAAGGCUUAUUGUGAUGUUGUAUUACCGAGUGGGCCCCAAGAUACCUCUCUGUCACACAGAGUGACAAAUCCCAGUCUUGAUCCAUGCCAACCCAACAGACACCUUCGGAGAUACCCGUAGAUCACCUUUAUAGUCACCAGUUACGUUGCGACGUUUGAUACACACAAGGUAUUCCUCCGGUGCCCGGGGGUUGCAUAAUCUCAUGGUCAUAGGAACAGAUACAUUGAGAUGCAGAAAACAGUAGCAAUAAACUGACACGAUCAUAUGCUAUGUUUAUAGUUUGGGUCUCCCGUUUAUCAAGUGACAACACUUGUCUAUGGCGAGGAAACCUUGACCAUCUUUGAUCAACGAGCUAGUCAACUAGAGGCUCACUAGGGACAGUGUGUUGUCUAUGUAUCCACACAUGUAUUUGAGUUUCCUAUCAAUACAAUUCUAGCAUGGAUAAUAAAUGAUUAUUAUGAACAAGGAAAUAUAAUAAUAAUCAAUUUAUUAUUAUCUAUAGGGCAUAUUUCCAACACUAUUUUACCUACAUUGCAUAUUUGUCUCAAUCUAGUCAAGUUGAGUGAAUACACGCUAGAAACCAUUAUCCUUACAUUGUUUGGUUGCAUAUGUACCUUCUAGCCUAGGUGCGAAGAAACGCAAGUCAAAUAGUUUGGUUACGGCUUGUUUAGACAGGAAUGCAAGUAAGGUUUUUUGGUUACAUGAAACACAUGUUGUGUGGUAACCUUCUCGUGGACUUGGUAAAUUAUCAACACAAGGACAUAGAUAAGAUACCAACAAUCUUAAACAAUCAAUUUAACAUAGAUAACAUAUCAAGUGCGACAUAAUUAAACAUAGUCUAACACAAACAAACCUUUAUUCAACACAAAGGACUUUCUAGACAUUCACGACGAAUGUGUCGUCGUGCUUAUAUCACUUGAUCACCACCUUAACAUCGUUGUCGUUCAAAACUACCACCUUCAGGGUAUCGGGAACUAGCAAUUGGAACAUGACCACAUAGCCGAUCUUGAUCUUAUGAACAACGACGAAGGGGGCUCAACCUUGAUCAAGGGUGACCCUACCGUCGAUCACUUGGAUAGUGAGCCUUUAGGCGCAACCGGUAUUUGUCUUGAGCUUGAGCUCCCGAGUGACAGCGGGGAAGCGCUUCGUGAAGUCUAGAAGCAUCGGCUGACACUUCAGUUUUGGUGCAAGGAUGAUCUUGACAAUCCAGAAGUGGGUUGUCCCCUCUCCUUAUGGUAAUGGUUGUAGUUCUGUUGGAAAUAUGCCCUGGAGGCAAUAAUAAAUUGGUUAUUAUCAUAUUUCCUUGUUCAUGACAAUCCUUUAUUAUCCAUGCUAUCAUUUUAUUGAUUGGAAACUCAAAUAGAUGUGUGGAUACAUAGACAACAGAGUGUCCCUAGUAAACCUCUACUAGACUAGCUCUUUGAUCAAAGAUGGUUAAGGUUUCCUAGCCAUAGACAUGAGUUGUCAUUUGAUAAAAAGAUCACAUCAUUAGGAGAAUGAUGUGAUGAACAAGACCCAAACCGUAAGCACAACAUUUGAUCGUUUCACAAAGUUUAUUGAUAUUGCAUUCUGCAUGUCAAUGUAUGUGUUCCUAAGACCAUGAGAUCAUGCAACUCCGUGACACCGGAGGAAUGCCUUGUGUGUAUCAAAUGUCACAACGUAACUAGGUGAUUAUAAAGAUGCUCUACAUGUAUCUCCGAGGGUGCCUAUUGGGUUGGCCUCGAACGAGAUUGGGAUUUGUCACUCCGUAUGACGGAGAGGUAUCUCUGGGCCCACUCGACAAUACAACAUCACAAGAAGCUUGCAAGCAAUGUGACUAAGGAAUUAGUCAUGCAAUCAUGUAUUACGGAACGAGUAAAUAGACUUGUCGGUACGAGAUUGAACUAGGUAUGGAGGUAUCGACGAUCGAAUCUCGGGCAAGUAACAUACCGAUGGACAAAGGAAACUGCAUACGGGAUUAACUGAAUCGUUGACAUCGUGGUUCGAUCGUUAUAGAUCUUCAUAGAAUAUGUAGGAACAAAUAUGGGCAUACAUGUCCUGCUAAUGGUUAUUGACCGUAGAGGUGUCUCGUUCAUGUCGGCAUAGUUCUCGAACCCGCAGGGUCAGCACACUCAAUGUUUGAUGCUAAUCUAGUAUUGUUGAUUUAUUAUGUUGGUGAUCGAAGGCUGUUCAGAGUCUCGGAUGAGAUCCCGGACAUGACGUAGAGCUUUGGAAUGGUCCGGAGGUAAGUAUUGAUAUAUGGGAAGUUGGUAUUUGAGAUCCAAAAAAGUUUUGGGAUAUACCGGUUUUGUGAUGGAUGUUUCGUAAGUGUUUCGGGGGUCCACCGGGAAGGUCCACCUACCCUGGAGGGCCCCAUGGGCUAUGAGAGGUGGCGCACCAACCCUUGGUGGGCUGGCCUAGAGGUGGUCGCCGCCCCUCUUUCCUUGAGGCGCAAGGCUCCUCUUGGUUGCCGCCCCACCCUAGGGAAACCUUAGGGCGCCGGUCUCCUCCUCCCUUCCCCCUAUAUAUACUAGAGGAGAGGGAGGGCAGCCACGACGCAUCCCUCCUCUCUCUCUCUCAUAGUACUUCUCUACCGUCAUGAUCGUGGUAGUGCUUGGUAAAGCCUUGGCAAGAUCGCACCACCACCGCCGCCACUACAUGGUUGUAUUUUCGGAGAACACAUAUACUACUCAACUUCACUCGCUAGAUCGUGGUGGUGAAGGCGCCAUUGAUCUGCACGUGUACUGAACGCGGAGGUGUCGUCCAUUCUGCGCUAGAUCGGGACGGGUUGUGGUUGGAUCGCGGGUUGGAUCGUGAUUGGACCGGGAAGACAUUCGACUACAUCAACCGUGUUUUUUUAACUCUUCCGCUUAGCGAUCUACAAGGGUAUGUAGAUACACUCCCCUCUUGUAGUUGUUCAUCUCCAUAGAUUUAUCUUGGUGCAUGUAGGAAAUUUUGUGUUUCCCAUGCAACAUUCCCCAACAAGUUCCUCAUCCACUUGACGCUAGGGAGCUCCACCACCUCCUUGCCCUUGUCUGGGGAGUCAUGACCUCCUUGCCCUUGGAGUUAUCUGAGGCUGCUUUCUCGAUCUACAUUAUGAACGUCAUGAAGUUCAAAUGAUGAUCACCAUUCAUUCGUCCCACCCACCUAGUCCAAAGCCUCUAUUUAUCAACCACCACACUCAAUUAACUAUCUCUCACUUUCACUAUUUGUCUUCUAUCCUCUUUCACAUAUAUGCCUAAUCACCACUCCAUACCUAACCCAUUCCCUAGGGCAUUGGAUGGAGGGCUUUCUUUCAUGGUUGCUCGCUCAGUGACCGCACCAAGUUCGGCAAGACCAUGGAGGUGUGCUCUCAGUUGACCAGCACCGAGUAUAUUCAUAAAGAAGCAUGCAUCAUGCUGUUGAAGGUGUCGAAGGAGUCAAAUAUGAUGAUACCUAACCCAGUCAAAGGCGUUAUGUCAGUAGAAAUACUACAUUGGUAAAUGGAUGAGGGUUGUUAGAGCAUAUUUCUCCAUGCGUGGUUUUGGUAAUUGAUGACAAUCCCUAUGGACUAAUGGUUGCCUUGAGUUAUAUUCGAAGGAUUUGUCCGUAUGCACUUCUUUAAGUCCAUCUGUUGGUUUCAAGGAGUUUAUAUGAAGGUGGUAUUCAAGGUUUUAUCCAAAGAUUGGUCAUAAAGACACAAGGUUGAUCAAGCCUAAGUUAAAGAGUGAAUCAAGUUGAUCAACACACAAAGCAUGCAAGAUGUACCCAGAGCGAUCAAGUGAUCCCAUGGUAUGGUAAGCAUUGUCCAUUAUGCUUUGUGUACUAACUCAUGGUCUUCGUGAGAGUUCUAUGUGGGGUUAGGUAUGUUUCCAUGGGCUUGUGUCAAGAGGAAGAUCUCAUUCUACCCAUGGAAGAUUGCGGUGUGCAAGUUCAAGUGGAGCAUCACAAAGAUAUCAUGCUUGAAGCUUGCCAUCCACUAUGGUGGCAAUGGACUUGUGAAGAUGUGUUGAAGAGUGAUCACCCAUAGUGGAGUAUGGGGGAGCAAUCUACUAGUCUUCAUCGAUCCGGCACAAUCAAGAAAGGUGGUCCAUCUUGAGAGGUCAACAUCAUCAUUAUUUAGCUCAAGUGGACUAUGCACAUGACAAAGGUUUGUCCUUGAUAGGUUUCCUAUUGUACCGGUCUCAGUGCGUUAGUUGGGAGACCAGGUUAUAGGAUAGAUUGUCGUACUAUCAAGGGGGGGAUCUCAAGUUAGUAGCUUGAUCGUAUCGUUCAUUGUGAGAUGAAACCAUUACAUUCUUGGCAUCACCAUAUUUCUUGGUUCUUGGUUGGCUUUUAUCUAUGUGGUUUCUUGAGUUUAUGGUCAUCUUCAUGACAUGCUUGAGUUCAUCGAAAAUGGAGUGCAUGUGCAUUUUCUAUGAUGUUAUCGAUGUUGGAGUUUUUGAUGGUUCUUCAUUCAUAUAAGUUUCACAUCUCUAUAUGAUUGGCAUUUCCAUAACUUCCUCUUCUUAAUAUAACCACUCACUAUUUCGAUAGCACUCGUCGUGUACUAUCCAACAAGCUUGAGUUUGCUCAAUUCAGAGCUCAUAUGGAAAGUUGUGACAAUUUUAGUGUGAGGGCAGCUUUUCUGUGUUAAGCGGAAGUACCACUGGGAGCGAAGCGGUAGUACCGCCCAAGUGGUACUACCACCCUCCUCUUCCGUCCCAGCUUUCGCUUAUGUGAGCUCUCUGGUGUCCUCAGGUACCCUUGCCCAUUUAUAGCGGAAGUAGCGCCAGGAGCAAAGCGUUAGUACCACUGGGGCGGUACAGCCGCCGUACACUCCCGGCCCCACUUUCGCUUAUUUGAGCACUCUGGUAUUGCUUCUUCAUCUCCAACGGUAGUACCACUAGGUCGACCGAUAGUAUCGAUCCGGUGGCACUACCGCCUUGAGAUUUCUACCAUUUGCAUGUUUUUCCUUGAAACUUCCGUUCUAGUGGAAGUACCGCUCGCGUGAGCGGUACUACCGCUUAUGCACGAGUUCAGUGCAUAACAGUUGGAUAUGGAGGGACCUAUUUAAGGGGGGUCUUCUUCCUCAAUGGUUUCUAACUCUUGAUCUCGUGUUCUUCCCCCAUUGUUGACCUUCUUUGAGUUUGAAACUCUCAAUCCCUCCAAUGAUUCUUGCUAGUUCUUGAGGGAAAAGAGGUAGGAGAUCUAGAUCCACAUUCCACCAAUCACUUUCUCCUCUUUGUGAGGGGAACCCCUUGAAUCUAGAUCUUGGAUGUCUUUGUGUUCUUCUUCGUUCUUCCUCUCAUUUUCCUUCAUAGCAUUAGUUGUUGUGGUGGGAUUUGGGAGAGAAGCACUUGGGCACUCUAUGUACCCUUGCCAUUGCAUUUGGUUCAUAAGUUUGAGUUCUCCAUGGUUAUACGUGGAAGUGAAGCUUUGAGAAGCUUAUUACUCUUUGGUGUUUGGGCACCCUAGAGCUUGUGCAUGUUGGUUGCUUUGGCGCCCUAGAUGGUUGGUGGUGCCUCAGAGCUCAAUCAUUGAUGACGAGUUGAUGGAUAUACUUCUCGCCCCUCGUUGGUUAUCCCAAGUGAAAGGCGGGGAUGUAGUCAGCUGCAGAUUUCCCUUACACGGAGACUGUAAGGUUUAUCGAACCAGGAGGACUCCUAGGCUCAACAAGUAGGUGUCUUCCACCGUGGCGCUAGCAGAAGACGUGGACCUGCACACACAACAAAUAACUUUGCUCCCAACGAGUACAUAGAGGUUGUCAAUCUCUCCGGCCUUGUAGUUUGCAAAGGAUCAAAACAGAAGCGGGAAAGUAAUAGUGAUUGCAACGGAAAAGUAAAUGAAAGCGGUAAAUGAUGGAGGUGAAAACAAUGAUGGUGAUAUGGAUCGGAGUCACAUGAUGUUCACUAGUGAUGUAUCACUCCCAAAAGACGAUAAACAACUAUGCUUGGGUAAACAAAUCAUAGUUGGGCAAUUGACAGAAUUAUGAUCGCACCGCAAUGCUAAUUAUGCUACUUGAUAGUUAGAGGUUCAAUAGUAAUGGGCAAUACGCCAAGACAAGUAGACCGUUUAUUCAUCAGCAUCUACUUACUAAUCAUCCACCUUGAUAUAUCUAUCCAGAACAUCUCUCCAGUAUUAAGUUGCGAGCCCCACCCAAAGUGUAAGCUCAAAGCAUCAGACAAGUGCAUUAACGAACUAUGCGUAAGGUAAACAAUCCUUGCAACCGUGUCACAAGCAUCGUUGUUUUCUCCCUGGUGGCAACAAGCACAUGCCCUAGUCUCAUGUUUCUGUCACUCAAGCUAGAUAUCGAGGGGCAUGAACCCCCAAUCAUGCAUAACGCUCCCUCUUGGAGUUACAAUCUACUACUCAGCCAAAGCAAUAAAUAGCAACGGAGAACAUGCAUGAAUCACUAAGGAACAUAAUAUAAAAGGAUAAUAAAAUAUAUAAUUCAUAACAAUCUGAACAUAAUCUCAUAAUCCAUCUGAUCCCAACAAACCGAGCAUAGCAAUAGUAAGAGAAUUACAUAGAUGCCUUGAUCAUGUAGGGAAGCUCACAAGGUCUAACCAUCGAAGCACAAGAUUGGAGAAAAGACAUCACAUAGCUACUGGUUAUGGACUCAUGGUCCAAGGAGGACUACUCACGGCACGUCCGGGAAGCGUCCAUGGCGGUGGAGAAGCUCCCGAGGUCAAUCCUCCCUCCGGUAGGGUAUCGGAAAGAGGUCUCGUGACGCUCCCGAUCUCGGAAGCGCUGCGGCGGCGGAACGAUGGAGAAAUUCGCGAUUCCAAAAGUUGUUGAAGGGUUUCCUCUCGGGACUCUAAAUAUAGGCUAAAGGAAGGCACCGGGGGAGGUGGGACCCACCCAGGCGGCUUCCUGGCACGGCCUAGGGCCUCGCCGCGCUAGCAUAUCGCCUGGGGGGGGGGGGGCUGGCCCCUCUGGGCCGUCUUCGGUGAUCCGAAAGCUUCUAUUUCGCUGAUUUUUUUUAUAUUUUUUCUAGAAUUUUCCGCGCUUCAGAAAAUUGGGUAAAAGCCCGUGCAAAAUAGACAUGAGCAGACAAAAACUCGCACUGGGUGCACAGAAGCCUGAGAAUCAAGGCAGGGGGCCUGCAGGGAUCCCACAAGCCCCCUAGCCGCGGCCAGGGGGCCCGCGCCUCCCAGGCUUGUGGGCUCCCUGCGCCACCUCUGCCCUAGGACUUUCGCCUAUAAAUUCCCUAAAAUCCCAGAAAAAAUCAGGAGAUCAUCGAAAGUAUUUUUCACCGCCGCAAGCUUCUGUCUCCGCAAGAUCCCAUCUGGGGCACAUUCUAGUGCACUACCGGAGGGGGGAUUCGUACACGGAGGGCUUCUCCAUCAACACCAUGACCUCUCCGAUGAUGCAUGAGUAGUUCACCAUAGACCUACGGGUCCAUAGCUAGUAGCUAUAUGGCUUCUUCUCUCUCUUGGAUCUUCAAUACAAAGUUCUCCAUGAUCUUCAUGGAGAUCUAUCCGAUGUAAUCUUCUUUUGCGAUGUGUUUGUCGAGAUAUGAUGAAUUGUGGAUUUAUGAUCAGAUUAUCUAUGAAUCAUAUUUGAGUUUCUUCUGAUCUCUGUUAUGCAUGAUUUCAUAUCCUUGUAAUUCUCUUCGAGUUGUGGGUUUUGUUUGGCCAACUAGAUCUAUGAUUCUUGCAAUGGGAGAAGUGCUUGGUUUUGGGUUCAUACCGUGCGGUGACCUCACCCAGUGACAGAAGGGGUAGAGAGGCACGCAUCGUGUUGUUGCCAUCAAGCGUAAAAAUAUGGGGUUUUCAUCAUUGGUUUGAGAUUAUCCCUCUAUAUCAUGUCAUCUUGCUUAAGGAGUUACUCCGUUCGUCAUGAAAUCAAUACACUAGAUGCAUGCUGGAUAGCGGUCGAUGUGUGGAGUAAUAGUAGUAGAUGCAGAAAGUAUCGGUCUACUUGUCUCGAACGUGAUGCCUAUAUGUAUGAUCAUUGCCUUAGAUAUCGUCAUGACUUUGCGCGGUUCUAUCAAUUGCUCGACAGUAAUUUGUUCACCCACCGUAAUAUUUGCUAUUUUGAGAGAAGCCUCUAGUGAACACUAUGGCCCCCGGGUCUACUCCACACCAUAUUUUCAGCCUUACACUUUUUCUUCGUUGCACUUUCCGCCUUCAGAUCUCACUUUGCAAUCAAUCUUGAAGGGAUUGACAACCCCUUUAUAGCGUUGGGUGCAAGCCCUUUGUGUUUGUACAGGUACUCUGGACUUGACGAGAUUCUCCUACUCGAUUGAUACCUUGGUUCUCAAACUGAGGGAAAUAUUUACUGCUCCUGUGCUGCAUCACCCUUUCCUCUUCAAUGGAAAAACCGACGCAAGCAAGUCUCCGUCAACGUGUCAAUUUUUGGUGCUGUUGUUUGAGAAGUAGCACUAUGUCUUCGCUAUGCUUAAUGCUUGUCACUAGCCUAUUCACCCCCUCUAGGCGUCAUCGAGGUCUUUUCAAUUGGUAUCAGAGCUAGGUCUCUCUUUAAUUAGGUUUCACGACCUAGAGAGUAUCGAUGUCAACUAUUGGAUUAGUGCGCAAUGGCAUCUUUGACUUAAUUGGAACAAAUUAUACCCUAUGGAGAAUUCGUAUGCUUCAUCACUUUCGGGCCAUGGGCCCAAAUACUUUACGAAUUGUUCUUGUAGGGAUUGCCGACAAAAGGGAUGAUGCAUCUUCAUCUACUAAUGAAAUGUAUCUUGAUUGUGAGGCCUUUCUUGCCAUUCAUCGAACCAUAAGUCCUGAAGUGUUCAAGUCUAUCUCGACUUGCAAGUCAGCUCAUGAAGUUUGGACUAAACUUGAAGAUAUAUAUGGUGGGUCCAAUCUUGAUGAAGACGGUAUUAUGAUGAAGGAGUUGGUGCAUGAGCUCUUCACUCUUUUCGAUCUUAAAGAGUCCACCACUACUCCCAUAUCCGAUUGCUUGCACACCUCAGCAUCUUCAAUCUCACAAGGUAACGACAUGGUGAGUGAAGAAAUAUAUGUUGAUGAAAAUGGCAUAGCCUCUAUGGACACGAGCAUAUCUAGCACCACACAUAGUGUAAAUUAUUGUGCUGAUAGGUCAUGCAUUUCACCUAAAGAUUCCUUGACAAAUGUCUGUGGUGAUAUGCCUGCCUCCUCGUGUCCUCUUGAUCAAAAUAUCUUGUUUCUCCCUAGUUGCUCUAUGACUAACCAUUUAGGGGAAAUCAAGAAAUAUAAAGUACUUUUGGCUAAUGAAGAAUCUGAUUCACCAAAAGAAUCAUCAUCAACUCCUCCAGUUCACAUGUGCCUCAUGGCAAGAGGUAAUAAUGAGGUAUCAUCUUCCCUGUGCAAUAACGAUGAUAUAUGCGAUGAGGAUGAUGAUGAUGACUUGACUGAAAAUAUCUAUGUGAUCAGUAAAAUUCUUCAUAAUCCUAAAAAUAACUCUCUUCAAAGGUUCCAAGAUGUUCUUGCUUACUUUGAAAACUGUAAUGAUUCACUUAAUCAUGAACCAGCUAAAAGUGAACAACUUGAACAUGAACUUGAGAAGAGUCAUCAAGUAUGUAGAGACUUAAGAUCUUCAAAAGGAGAGAUUGAAGUUGCUCAUGAUAAACUUAAAAGGGACUUUGAGGUCCUUCUCCUUGAAUGCAAUAAUGUCAAAGGAGAGCUCAUCAAAACCUCUAAGAUCUAUGAGGAGCUUCAAUCUACUCAUGAGAAGUCUCUAUUUGCUACUUACUCCUCUCAUAUUGUUGAUGAUACUUGUACAUCUAACUCUACCUCUUCUGAAGUAUCAACAUUGAAGGAGAAUGUUGAGCUACGUGCUCAACUUGAUUUACUAACUAGCAAUUAUGGGAAGUUGGAAGAAAACCAUGUAAUGGUCACAAGCUCUCAUGCCGAUCUUCUAACAUCCUAUAAUGUGCAAAAGUUAGCUCAUGAGGCUAUCAUCACCAAGGUAACAUCAAGCGAGCCUCAUGUGGACAAUGGCACUACUUCUGGUCAAAGUACUAUAUUUCCAUGUGCCAGUCCUCGUAAUUCGUCUACUCAUAAUGUUGCUACCUCAUGUGAUGAAUUACUUUCCUUGCCUUGUUGCUCUAACAUUGAAGCCUACACUUCCUCUAGUACUUGCAUUGAUACUAACCGUGCAGAGGAAAUCAAAGAGCUCAAGGCCCAAGUCACUUCUUUGAAGAAAGACUUGGAACAGUGUCAUGAAGGGAUGCCCACAUUCAACAACGUCCUGUGUGAGCAAACAUCUCCGAAUGACAAAAAUGAGUUUGGAGUAAACUCAAACAAGAACAAGAGGGGCCUAGAACAAGUCAAGAAUUCGGCCAAAAUCAUUUGCUUCAAGUGCAAAGUUAAAGGGCACCAUGUUAGAUCUUGCCCUCUGAAGACGAAGUCUCAAAGUCACAAGCAACAAGGGAAGCGGCCACAAACUCAAUCACAUAUUCAACUAGAAGUUGAAGGAAGGCCUCUUCCCAAUAAGACCCAAGCCAACACUCCCCAAGGUGAGAAAUCAAAUGGGAAGAAAACAAAGGGUAGAUGUUGCUACUUAUGUCGUGAGAAGGGUCACGUCGCUUCGUCUUGCACGAAAGGUAACUUAUCCAACCCAAUCACUAUUGAUGAUACAUAUUCCCUUGGGAAGGAUAAGGUUGGCAAUGUGUUUGCCAAGUUUGUUGGUACUCAAAAUGGUGUCAAGAAAAGAACCAUUUGGGUUGCCAAGCCUAUUGUGAUUAACCUCUUAGGACCCAACGUAGUUGGGGACCAACAAGCUCAAACUUGAUCAAUAGGUGACCUUGGAGGACAUUAGAGACUUGGAUACAUAAUGAAGAAUUAAGGGGUCUUCAUCAUUCAUAUUAUCUCAAGCCAAGUCAUUUGGAUUAUCGAGUUUCUAUCUUAUAUCCAAUGUGCCUCCUUACGGUAACUUAUACUUAAACUGUUUACAUUUGUUAGGUGAUUGCCCCUUUGCAUGUUGUGGUUUUGUACCUUGCAUGCGUUUGUAUAUGUUGUGCUUCCAACUUGCUUAUCUUGAGUAAUCAAGUAUGUGUAUGUUGGUUUGCACAUCAUGUACAUGUGAGUCUUGUAUUGAGCCUAUUUACAUCUUGUCUGUAUUUUUGUUGGCUCUUGUGAGAGAUUAAUGGAUUAUCCCAUUGUGGGGGAGUGAUGUGCUUUGCACACCUCACAAUCCUAUAAAUGUGUAUACAUGGGGAAUACCACUUAGUUUUGAUGCUUCAAGAUUAUCUAGUGUUUAUGUGGUAUGUCUUACUCAUGAGAAAUUCAAAUUCUAUAUGGUCCAUUAAGUAUCUCUUGUUGGUUUUAAUUUGCCACUUGUUAAUGUUAUUGUUUUAUCACAUUAUGGGGGAGUAAUAUGCUAUGUGCAUAUUACAAACCUAGAAAAUGUGUACAUCUGACGUAUUGCCACCUAGUGUUGAUAUUGUAAAUUAUCUUGUUCCUAGGUGGCAUGUUAGCUCUACAAGUGUCAUUUGCUUGCGUUUUAUGGGUAAAGAUAAUCUUGGAUAUAUUUGUGAUCUAUCAAUGAGUAUCAUUUCAAAAAUACUUCUUGUCCUUGACAAUUGGUAUUCCCAUCAUAUGAUUGGAAUUGAUAAUCAUCUUUACAUUGGAUUUUGUGUUUCGUUUGUCUUUCUUGCCUCUUAUGAAUCUAUUUUUAACAUGUCUAGUGUGGUUAUAGAUAUAAAGAAAGUGAUGAUCCCAUCGUGUGCGUUUUGUAUUCAAAAGAAAAUUCUAUAUAAUGCACGUCCCUUGGGGGAGCUAUCCUAUUCCCUUUAAAAACACUCUCUUUAUUCACCCGUCAUAAAAUCAUUUGAUCCCCAUCAAGUGUGUGUUGAUGGGAGGCAAGUCUUGCUCUUUAUGAUGCUUUGUGCCAUCAUGAAAAUUUGUAGAGGGCUUUGUUUGUUGGAACCUAGCUCUCUCUUAGAAACUAGAUACCUCUGUUUGUUUUCCUUCAAUUGGUUUCUUGUUGCCUUCUAUUUGACAUAUGUCAAUGGAUAUCUCAUUCCUUGAUGUAUCUUUUAAUUGAUAUCUUUCAAGUGAUAGUUCUUUUGUUUUAGGAUCUUAUUGUCACUUGAUAUCUUGUCUUUUGAUGACUUAUCAACUUUGUGUUGAGUUGAUUCUCGAGAGUCUUGAGCAUGCAUAUCUAGCUACUAUAUACAACUUCUUUUGCUUGCUUUCCUCCUUUGACCCAAUAUAUAAGGGAAACUCCACCCUGUCAUAAAUUGGCUAAAGUGUGCAUGAACUUCAAAUUCAUAUCUAUAUGCACAUGUGUGUGUGGAGUUUGUCCUAUGUAUUGCUGGUCUUCUAACUCUUUGGUCCCAAUGAGUUUGGGCACCAUUUUGUUUGUUUUGUUGUUCCAGGAACAACUGGAGAUGCAUUGGAUGCUCGGCUCACCUAUAAGGAAGAUGUUGAGACCAUGUGAUUAUUGGAGCCAAGAUAGGAUGAUCAAAGAAAAACUAUCUACUACAUCAAUCCAAUGUUGUCUCGGUAACAAGUAUCCACUUCAUGCAUUCUUUUCUUGCAAAGGACCCAACCUGUAUUUUCUUUUCCAGGUUGCAUCAUGGCAUGAAUCUCUUGAUUUGUUCUCGUAGUACUUGUUUGCUUUCUCAAAGCAUCCGAACGAUGAUGUCUUACUGCUAGUUGGGAUGUCUUUGAUGUUCGUAUGUUGGAAGUUCAUAUUAUAGAAUAAGAAAAUAUUAGGCCAUGUGCUAUGCUUCCAAGCAAAAGAUCUCAUUGAUAUAUUUAUGACUUCCAUUUUUGGAUAUCUAGUGUUCUUCCUUCUUGUAACCAUUUCGUGUGUACAUCCUUCUUUGUGGAUAUAUAUAUCAUCAUGAUUGUCUUCUACUUAGAAUCUUGGUCACAUGAGAGAAGUUACAUCUCUAAUUGAUAUCCUCUUUUCUUUCACGACCACCGUUGCAUUUCCUUUUUCGGUUUUGGUGGCAACGUGAAAGGAUUUGUUUUGAGUGCGUAUCUUAUUUUCCUACAUCUUGAUGCACUCUUUGGCCGUGAAGAUUAUUUUUCCUCAUGCUUGUCUUGAUGAGGGUUUUGCCAUUUUCAAUUAGUAUCCCUCCUCUUGACAAGAUCCUUACUUCCUAUCUUCACAAGGGGUUGUCACAAGCGUUGGUUCUUAUUUUGUUUAUUAGUAAGCUUGUGAACCCAAUUUCUAGUAUGUAUGUGUGGGAAUGAUAUGUCUUGCACUUUGUAUCUCAUAUUCAUCAAGACUAUGUUGAUGAGCAAUGCUCAUCCUUAUCUUAAGUCUUCUCAAGUGCUUUGCCAUGACUCACACACAUUACUUUGGUUGAGCUUAUUCUUAAGUUGCUUCCUUUACAUGUUGCUCAACCAUUAGUUUUCUGCAAUUGAUAUGCCUAUUGUCUCAUCUAUCUUCUUGCACUCGUUGUGUGUUUCUAUUAAUUCUGGGGGAACAACGAUCUUAUUUUGUGCACCUGUGUCAAAUACAAACAUCUCAUAUUAGUGUACAAAUCAUGGGGAGCUUCUCUAGUUUUUGAUAAAGCACUAUGUUGCCUUUAUCAUAAUAUCUUUUAUUCAUGCGGUUCGAAGGAACAUAUGAUUGUCUGUUCCAUCUGGGAUCUUUUGAUUGCUUGCCUCUAUCUUUGUAUGUCUUUGUGGCAUACGAUUCUUGUUGCAAUUUUUGGGUCCUUAAUAUAGUUUGUUUUCCUCCAACUACUUAUCAUUGUAUUUGUGUAUUUUUCUGCACUCAUUUGCCGAGAAAUACACACUUUUUGGAGGACCACCUACUAUAUUUGCUUUCUAAACUUUUCGUCCAUUUUGGCAAUCGAUGCCAAUGGGGGAGAAGUUUAGAGAGUUUACUUUGGAUAUGUUUAGAGGGUUUUGCUUUUAUUGCGUAAGCAUUUUUACAUCUUGCUCACAUGCACUAUUACCUUGUAUGUGUGCGCUUGGUUAUGCUUAUUUCCUUAUAUAAACUCUCUUGAAGUGGUUGUCUUCAAUUACCAAAAUGGAGGAGAUUGAUAGAGCAUAAUAUAUCUCCAUAUGUGGUUUUGGUAAUUGAUGACAAUCCCUAUGGACUAAUGGUUGCCUUAAGUUAUAUUUAUAGGAUUUGUCCAUAGGCACUUCUUGAAGUCCAUAUGUUGGGUUCAAGGAGUUUAUAUGUUGACCAAGAUGUUAUUCAAGGUAUUAUCCAAAGAAUGGUCAUAGAAACACUAGGUUGAUCAAGAUCUCAGACUAAGAGCAAAUCAAGAUGAUCAACACACAAAGCGUAUAAGAUGUACCGGGAGGGAUCAAGUGAUCCCAUGGUAUGGUAAGCAUUGUCCAUUACGUGUUUGUGUACUAACCCAUGGUCUUUGUGAGACUCCUAUGUGGGGGUUAGGUGUGUUUCCAUUGGGCUUGCGUCAAAAGGAAGAUCUCAUACAACCCAUGAAGGAUGACGUCAAGUGGUGAUCGUCAUCAAGACUGUGGUGUGCAAGUUCAAGCGGAUCAUCACGAAUAUAUCAUUGAAACUAUUCUCAAUGAUCAUGUGCUGACAAGGACAACCUCAUGUGCUAACAAGGACAAGAUCAAGAUAAGCAUUCCUGAGCACUACAUGCUUGAUUCUUGUGGAUGUUCACAUGGUGGACAGGACAAGAUCAAGAUAAGCAUUCUUCAGAACCUCAUGCUUGAUUCUUGUGGAUGUUCACUUGGUGGACAAAUGAAGAUGAAUACAUAAGCUAGGCUUUCCGCAUUGUGUAUGGGAAAGCUACUUGAAGACUUCAUCAUGUCUUGCUUUCAACUUGAGCCAAGAAGGAACAACAACAUCAAGCUCAGGUGAAAGGGCUAACUCAAAGGUAUCAGUUCCUUUGACGUUAGUUGUGCGGAGUGAUGAUCAGCGAAUAAAAGUAUACACUCAAGUAUGGAUCAUCAGUACUCUUUUAGGAUUCUUGAGUCCUUAGGGAUCCCGCACUAUUAAGAGGGGAUCACAGGUUUUGCGAUCAACUUGCUCAAACUACAUCUUCACUUUCCGUUCAGACCACAUCUCCACCGCUCUGCUGUUAUCUGAAAACAGAACGAGUUCCUCGGACAACCGGCCUCCUCCGCACGUCCGAGGGCCGGACUACCGACAGCUUCGGAAGUCCGGAAUCCUAUACCAGAGAAAUCAGAGCCAUAUAACUCGGACUUCCGGCUCCCUCCGGACGUCCGAGGCCCGGAUGUCCGACCAAGUCCCGGAAAUCCGGAAGCCUGCACCAGUAGAAGUUGAGUUCUAUAUCUCGGAAAUCCGGCUUCCUCCGGACGUCCGGUCAAGCUCCGGAAAUCCGGAGGUCAACACCAGUAGAAUGUGUGCACUAUAUCUCGGAAAUCCGGCUUCCUCCGGAUACCCGAGCACCGGAUGUCCGACACCCAUCGGAAAUCCGGAAGCCACCACGAGUAGAACUUGUGCUGUAUAACACAGACUUCCGGGCCACUCCGGAUGUCCGUAGACUGAUGAAUUCAAAUAUGUUUAGGCACACCUANNNNNNNNNNNNNNNNNNNNNNNNNNNNNNNNNNNNNNNNNNNNNNNNNNNNNNNNNNNNNNNNNNNNNNNNNNNNNNNNNNNNNNNNNNNNNNNNNNNNACGAUAGUAGUAACACAAAUAGCACGCGUGGAUUACAUUUGAAUAGAAAAUGUAAAUAUUUGGCAAGACCACGAGUCCCACAUGAUUGGCACCCUGUUUCCUGUUUCAAGUUUUGGAAACCAAUUUUCGCGGGCUAUUAAUCCCACACAGUCAUGCAUUAGGAACCGUUAGUGAUGUGAAGUCACACACGGAUGUUGAUCCAACAAUCGUGUGCAAUUGAGGCCAUUGAAUUUCGCGAGCGGCGCGUCCGUAGCAGUCUCUCCUUUUUUCUGUUGGCAUCAAUCAAGAUUCUGGUCGCCUAUAAAUGUUGCCCGGUGAGACGUCAUAUCUCCUGCAUUCUCUCGUCUCUCUCCGCACCCGUCACACAAAACUCUGCCAUGGCGCGAUCGGUCUGUGCACAAGCAGAGGAGGAGGUGCCACCCCGCGAGGACACGACGUAGCACAACGAUGAGGAGGACCCCUAUACGCGUGAGACGAGGCACCCCCAAUUGAACAUUGGUUUUAGGGCCAGUACAAUCUAGCUUUGUGGAAGGCGCCGUCGCCAACUAAGAGAGCUAGACAGGUGGCAUUCAAGGAGUGGAUUGAGGAGUGCACCAGGAACCUCGCAACCUGAAAUGCCCUUAGUGCCGCAUCACAAAGGGAGGAGUUGGAGCUUUGGCGCCGGGCGCAUCAAUNNNNNNNNNNNNNNNNNNNNNNNNNNNNNNNNNNNNNNNNNNNNNNNNNNNNNNNNNNNNNNNNNNNNNNNNNNNNNNNNNNNNNNNNNNNNNNNNNNNNUCUUGGGAGCAAUACCUCAGAAGGUGGUGGUGCUUUGUUUGAUCUGAGACAGAUCAAACUGCAUUUUUUCAAGUGUGUCCUCAUAAAUGAGUCUGAGACCAUUGCCCCCGCCCAUUAGCACCUUAUUUAGUCUGAAGCAAUUGUCUAUGGGGUUCAGUACUAGGGCGGCAGGUGUUCGACAUGUAAUAUUGAUCGGCUGGUCAUCCUGGUCGAAAGCCAUUGGUGUGUUUGACCAUGGGUUUGCCACCACUACAUGGUGGAUUUGAUGGGGCUCAUGAAAAGCUCUAUUUCUUUGGUUUUUCGCGUAUAACGUUUCGUAGAUCGUUAGGAUCUCCGCGUUGCUAUCCGCCAGCAUUCCUGACCGUUCCUCUAUAGGUGGGGCCUUGAGGAUGCCUUCUCCACUUUUUGCAACUUGCGUGAUGACCCAACAUGCUCGAAGACUGUGGGUGGAAAUUGUGUCAGGCGGGGCCGAGUGUAUGGGGCAUGGCUUGUCCAGUAGUAUGUCGAGGACCGACCUGGCUCUCGUCCGUGUUUUGUUCCUUUUUCUACAGGCUCGAAGGUAAUCGACCCCGUGAAUGGGGGUGUGCGCCUUCUCCGAAUUCCUCUGGUUUGCUUGAUAUGGUCGAGAUUGGUGCACAUUUGUUGUAUUUGCCAAGUGCUUACCACGGUGCAAUAUUUGAGCACCAGGUUUGACAGCUCGGUGAAGGUUUGACUUCAGUGACGGGCGAAGGCGUUGAGGAUGCCCUCAUCACUAAAGUUAUGCCGGAAGGCGUUGAUCAUCUCAUACUCACUGCAGNNNNNNNNNNNNNNNNNNNNNNNNNNNNNNNNNNNNNNNNNNNNNNNNNNNNNNNNNNNNNNNNNNNNNNNNNNNNNNNNNNNNNNNNNNNNNNNNNNNNUGAGUUGCUAUUUAACCUCAUCCAAGGACCUCCUCGGUCAAAUCCGAUUCAACUAAAGUUGGAGAAACCGACACUUGCCAGUCAUCUUUGAGCAACGGAGUUACUCGUAACGAUGAAACCAGUCUCUCGUAAGCGUACGAGUAAUGUCGGUCCAAGCCGCUUCAAUCCAACAAUACCGCGGAAUCAAGAAAAGACUAAGGAGGGCAGCAAAACGCACAUCACCGCCCACAAAAACUUUUGUGUUCUACUCGAGAAGACAUCUAUGCAUGANAACCUGGCUCUGAUACCACUGUUGGAGAACGUCGCAUGGGAAACAAAAAAUUUCCUACGCGCACGAAGACCUAUCAUGGUGAUGUCCAUCUACGAGAGGGGAUGAGUGAUCUACAUACCCUUGUAGAUCGUACAACAGAAGCGUUAGUGAACGCGGUUGAUGUAGUGGAACGUCCUCACGUCCCUCGAUCCGCCCUGCGAAAAAUCCCGCGAUCAGUCCCACGAUCUAGUACCGAACGGACGGCACCUCCGCGUUCAGCACACGUACAGCUCGACCAUGAUCUCGCCCUUCUUGAUCCAGCAAGAGAGACGGAGAGGUAGAAGAGUUCUCCGGCAGCGUGACGGCGCUCCGGAGGUUGGUGAUGACCUUGUCUCAGCAGGGCUCCGCCCGAGCUCCGCAGAAACGCGAUCUAGAGGAAAAACCGUGGAGGUAUGUGGUCGGGCUGCCGUGGAAAAAUCGUCUCAAAUCAGCCCUAAAACCUCCGUAUAUAUAGGUGGGAGGGAGGGGACCUUGCCUUGGGGCUCAAGGAGCCCCAAGGGGGUCGGCCGAGUCCAAGGGGNNNNNNNNNNNNNNNNNNNNNNNNNNNNNNNNNNNNNNNNNNNNNNNNNNNNNNNNNNNNNNNNNNNNNNNNNNNNNNNNNNNNNNNNNNNNNNNNNNNNCGGGGUCUCGGCAGAGUCCAUACCGUUUGAGUGCUCGGGGUUGGCCCGCGACACUAAUGCCCCGGGGGCGUUCGCGGACGCUCUUGGACUAUAGUCGGCUAAGAUGAAUCCGGGAUAUUGACCACAUCGGGCUUUAAGGCCGGAUCAAGGGUAAAAUUCGUCCUAGUGGGAUCCAUGGUUUCUGAAGCCGAAGCGUCGAGGUUCGUGGGCUCCUCGAAAGGAGCUAGGAGGCUUGUUAACACAAGAUCUCCCCGGGGGUCAGUGGUGAACUCUAGGCUGCCGAACCUGACUUCCUGACCGGGGAUGAAGCUUUUGACCUGGCCAAGGCGGUCGGCCGGAUCACCAUACAGAACAAAGCUUUCGAACGCGAAGAUCUGUUCGGGGACAAAAAUGUCCUUGUUGCGGAUCUCUUCGCCGAUGACUAAGCGUGCCAUCAAUCCUUCUAGUGAUUUCACUGUGGAACUCUCAAUGAAAGCACCAAUGUCUGUGUCAAAAUCGACGGAUCUUGGGCAGGGGGUCCCGAGUUGUGGACCUUGGAUCAAUGGGUUGCAGGGGACGAAGGAGACAAUGUUUUACCUAGGUUCGGGCCCUAUUGAGGAGGUAAAACCCUAUGUCAUGCUUGAUUAUAUUGAUGUGGAUGAGAAUUACAGAGUUGAUCUACCUCGAGAUCAUAUGAGCUAAAACCCUAGAUGAGUCAACCUUCCUAUAUGGAUGAGAACUUGUGGUUUAUAUAGACACCAUGGGUUCUUAGGGUUACAUACAACCGACCUCCAGCCGGGGAUGGAUAGGUCGAUCUAGCCUACCUAACUUGGAUGACACACCAGUCUCCGGAGCUUUCCUUCCUGAACAUGAGGUCGUCAGAUAGUGUGUUCUUCAAAUAAUACAGCCCAGUAGGUCGGCCUGUAAGAAAUGGGCCAACCGUUCGAGGACCCGUUAGUCCNNNNNNNNNNNNNNNNNNNNNNNNNNNNNNNNNNNNNNNNNNNNNNNNNNNNNNNNNNNNNNNNNNNNNNNNNNNNNNNNNNNNNNNNNNNNNNNNNNNNUCAUUAAAUUUUAGGCACAUCCAACAGAUCCCAAUAAAAUAGCAUCCCUUGGAGCCGAACUGGAACCCGCAAUCGAUGAAGCAUUGCGUGCCUUUUUGCGCAAAAAUUGGGACAUAUUCGCCUGGCACCCCUUAGACAUGCCAAGAAUCCCUCGGGGGCUGGCAGAACACAUCCCAAACAUAAUAGCAGGCUUCAAGCCUGUGAAACAGGCCUUACACCGAUUUUCCGAACCAAAGCAUCAAGUUAUGGGUGAAGAACUUGCCAAACUACUGGAAGCCGGGUUCAUGCGAGACAUCAAACAUCUCGAUUGGUUGGCAAACCUGGUAAUGGUAACAAAGAAGGACAAAUCUUGGCGGCCAUGUAUCGACUUCAAAGACCUAAAUAAGGCCUGCCCUAAGGAUCCUUUUCCCUUACCCCGAAUAGACCAAAUUAUCGAUGCAACGGCCGGACUCUCUGUGUUUCCUUGAUGCUUACUCCGGAUACCAUCAGAUUAAAAUGAAGGAAUCCAAUCAGACUGCAACUGCCUUCAUAACCCCCUAUGGGCCAUUCUACUUUAACACAAUGCCUUCCGGGUUAAAGAACACGAGCCCACUUACCAGCACAUGAUCCAGACAUGCUUGGAAAAACAAAUCGACAAAAUAUAAAUGAAUAAGUGGACGGCGUGGUCAUCAAGACCAACCACGUUAGCCAGCUGGUAGAUGACCUCAGGUAUACCUUUGCCAACGUACGAGCAUACGACAUAUGGCUUAGUCCGGACAAGUGUGUCUUUGGAGCCCGAGCCGGCAAACUUCACGGAUUCAUUGUGUCGCAAAUAGGAAUGAAGGCUAAUCCGGCCAAAAUCCAAGCAUUUUCACUACUCUCAGUGUCAACAGACUUGAAGCAUGUCCAAAAAUUGGCAGGCUGCAAGGAGGCCUUGAGCCGGUUUAUCUCUUGCCUCGGUGAGAAAGCCCUCCCACUUUAUAGGUUGCUGAAGAAGACCAAGAACUUCAAAUGGACCGACGAGGCCAUGAUGGCCUGGAGGAAAUCAAAAUGCCGCUAGGCAACAACCCCAUUCUAGCAGCACCCUGCGCAGGGGAGCUGAUGUUACUAUACAUCUCAGCCACCAAUCAAGUGGUCAACGCGGUCCUCGUCGUAGAACGAGAUGCCGAGGAUCACCAACUANNNNNNNNNNNNNNNNNNNNNNNNNNNNNNNNNNNNNNNNNNNNNNNNNNNNNNNNNNNNNNNNNNNNNNNNNNNNNNNNNNNNNNNNNNNNNNNNNNNNGUCGACCUGCUCGAGGAAGCAUGCCUUUUGGCAUUAAGCUGGACGGAUAUCUACCAGCAGAAGCUACGACACUACUAUAUCAAGAGGAUUCGGCCCCUCGCGUUAGGCGAGGGCGAUCUGGUACCCCGGCGGGUCCAACGGACAGCCGGCCAGAACAAGUUGGCUUCCCCAUGGCAAAGACCCUUCAUCGUCAGCAGGGCGCUGCACAACAACGCGUACUACCUCAUAGAUGCCCAGAAGCCGCAGAAGCGCAAGAGAGAUGCCUCCGGCAAGGAGACAGAACUCCCGUGGAACACGGCGCUCCUUUGCCUGUUUUACAACUGAACCAAUGUGUGUAUGUAUUCCCCCCAUCUUUCGUGCUUUAUGAAUGCAACAGGUACCUCGAGCGAGACUCGGUAAUGAGAUAUAUCGCCUAAAGACUCGACGCGACUGCCUCAGAGCCGGCCCGAGCCUCACGGGCUACACCGAGUGGGUGUACUAGCAUGCCCACACUGGAAAGUAGCAAAGGGAAAGAGAAAGGUGCCGCCUAAAGACUCGGGCCAACUGCCUCGCAGUUGGCCGAUUCACGGGGGUUACACACACUCGGUACGCUAGCGCAUCCCCACUUGAAAGCGCACAAGCACGAAGAAUGAGAAAGCAAAAACAGGUUAGUACUCAUUGACACGGACUGCUCCACAUGAGUCAGCCGACCCAUCUCCCUAUGUGCAUCGAGCUACGCCCGUGCCGCAUAGUCCGAGAACAUGAAUUGGACCGUGUGCACCGCUACCGCCAGUGUACUACCAGCACUCCCGCUUGUGGUGUCGCUCGCCAUCGCCCAUGACUCCCGCGGCUGGGUUCGGGAUCCAGCUUCGGCUCCACUCCGAGUCGAGUGCCCCGGCACCAACGUCGGUCGACACCUCGACGUCGGCUUCCGACAGCGUCGUCCUGGAGCUGGCCGGAGGCGGCACUACGGCUCCAACACUAUGACGUCCGGAGUGCUGAUGUCACCUCGACUCCGCCCUUCCUGGCCUUGACAUGAUCCCUCCCUGUGUUAGGGGCCUCCGUGUAGUCGCCCUCGGGCCUCAGGGGGGCCUCCACGUGUGGCACGUCCUCGGGCAGGGUGCGCAUCUCUAUCGCGGCUUGGACGUCGGCCUCCGCUCGCCCUCCCGCCGGAGGAUGACAUGGCUGGCGCAUCCCCCCAUAACGCCCAGUCGUCCGCUCCUCUCGCGUGAUCCACCGCGGCCGCGGACCUCCUCGUCGCAUCAUCCCUCCGGUGGCACUACUCCUCGGACAACGCUCGCUCGGCGAUCUCCUGCACCCGCCAGCCGGCGCACUCCCGCUCCUCCAUGGCGCUCUCACAACCCCCUGGCGCAUCGCCUGCGCCACCGAGGGGACCUCCCACCUCGGUCGCCGCUCCUAGGGAGCGCGGGGCCCUGCUCGACUGGAGGGUGGGAUGAGAAUAAAACAAGGAAAGGUAAGGACAAAAUCCAGAAGAUCAUCAGGGGUAACCUACUCUGCUAUCGUGGCGAUCGCACACCAUGGCGCCGGCCUCGAGGGGGCGACACGCAACCUCUUCCCGCCUCCUCAAUGGUCGUUGUCGGGCUUUGUCCCGGCCGCUUGCUUGGCUGUUGUCCUAGGAGCGGCCAGCAGUUUCCCCUGCACACGCUCGGCCGCCGCCNUCGGGGCCCGUUUGUUGGGUCCUCCCCCUCGUCUUGAGGGCAUCCUCCUCCAUGGCAUUCGCAUUCGUUGCUGGACAAGUGUGUGGGUGUCCUCUCGGGCUGUGGGCCAGAAGAAACUGGCUCAAAAAGCCUUGUUGACCAGGGCCCAUGCUGCUGCAUGGUGUCCGCCUAUACCUGCGUGUACUUCGGCCAAAAUUUGCCUCCCUUUUUCUUUGGAGAUGCACCACUUCAGGACUCUUGUGUUGCUCUUCUUAUAUAGCUCACCCNNNNNNNNNNNNNNNNNNNNNNNNNNNNNNNNNNNNNNNNNNNNNNNNNNNNNNNNNNNNNNNNNNNNNNNNNNNNNNNNNNNNNNNNNNNNNNNNNNNNUGGAACGGUUGAUGUUCAAGCGCUGGGCCACUAUAGCACCUAGGCUGAAAGUCUUAUCGUUAUAAAGGCCUUCGAGCAAAACCGCAAGGUCUGGCGAACUAAGUGAUCCAGCCUCACCACGGCCAAUCAAACAUUUUCCAACAAAUAAUGAGAAGUACCGUAGCACAGGAAAAUGUAUGCUAGCAAUUCUAGCGCGAGACACUCCUCUCUCCUCUCCAACAGCAAUAGAACCAAUGAAAUCCUCCAAGUCCCGUGGACGAGGGUCACGGAUAUCCCCAACAUAAGGUAAUUUGCAUACAUUGCAAAAAUCCUGCAGCAUCAUGCACUGGGGGACAUCGUAUAUCAUGAACUCAACAAUCGGAGGAUUCUUCCUCGGAUAAAAGUUGAAGCUUUGAACGAAAAUAUUGGUGAGUAGGAGGUAUUGUGAGAACUUAUCUUCAACGAAUGCAGUAAGGCCUGCGUUCUCCACCAAGUAAUAAAAGUCUUCAUAAAGUCCGGCGGCGCGCAAAAAUUCAUCACUUGGCCACUCGCACACUCGAACUUCUGUGACUCGAGGGACUACGUACUUGGGGUGGUUCUUCUCAUACUCCUUGGGGUUACGGCUUGAAGAGCCUCGCAAGAACCUCCUAAUUUUUCCUUUUUCUAGCUCUGAAAAAUUCUGAAAUUUUUAGAGACUUCGAAAGAAAAGUGAAUAAAGAUUAACCCAACUUGUAGCAACUACUCCUACUAGUGCCUAGAGACCGUAUCACGCGUUAAAACUACUUGGAACCAGCUAAAAUCAACAUUUCUAGCUCAAGAACAGGGUCACCAAGGUAGCAAGAAUACGCCAAGGAUAAAACACUAGAGCAAAAACUAAUUGGACCAAUGGAGGAGUCACUUACCAAGGAGUAAUUUCCCCAAAACGGUUUGGAGAAUGGUACUUUGAGCAAGGAGAUCGAAAAUCAUAGCCAAAUGAGCAAGAACACGGGUUUGAGCUGCGAAACAAUUUUUUCUGGAGGUGGAAGAAGAGGCUGGGAGCUGGAAUGAGUGGAGGGGGUGCCUGUGGGCCCCACAAGCUUGCACUCCGCCACUUGGGGGUGGGUGGCGCUGGCAGGGCUUGUGGCCCACUGGUCUGCCCCCCAGGCCAGCUCUGAGGCCCAGUAAUUUUCCAAAAUUCCAGAAAAAAUCAUACUAAAUUUUUAGGACCAUCGGAGAACUUUUAUUUUUGACGUAUUUUUCUCCGGGACGCUAAAACAGAAAAAGGAAAAACAAAACUAAUUCUAUCUUUUUUCUUCUAAGCAAAAGAAAAUGAAAGCUUAAGACAGAGGUAUGUGACUCUUUGUUUCAUCCGUUUCAUGGUCAUCAAAAGAAAUCCGUCAAUGGGGUUGAUCAAGCCCUCAUGACAAAACCUUCUCGAAUCGCAAGAGAGAACGAAGAAUUUUCGAAUAGCCACUAAGUCACCUCAAUGGGGAUAUGUAUCUCCCCAACAAGCAAAUCAUACUUCAUCUUGACACGAGGAAUAGGGCAUUCAAAGCUCCCAAUAAGAAUCGAUGAAGUCUUUUCGAUAGCAUUGAUGCAAUGUACUUGAUAUUGUUUCUUCGGAAAGUGCACUGUGUGCUCAUUACCGUUGACAUGGAAAGUGACAUUGCCUUUGUUGCAAUCUAUAACAGCCCCUGCAGUGUUUAAAAAGGGUCUUCCGAGGAUGACAACCAUGGCAUCGUCCUCGGGAAUAUCCAAGAUAACAAAGUCUGUUAAGAUAGUGGUGUUAGCAACCACAACGGGCACAUCCUCACAAAUGUCGAUAGGGAAAGCAGUUGAUUUGUCGGCCAUUUGCAGAGAAAUUUCAGUGGGUGUCAACUUAUCCAAUUCAAGUCUACGAUAAAAAGAGAGCGGCAUAACACUAACACCGGCUCUAAGGUCACAUAAGGUCGUUCUUACGUAGUUUCCUUUAAUGGAGCAAGGUAUAGUGGGCACUCCGGUAUCACCAAGUUUCUUAGGAGUUCCACCUUUGAAAGUGUAAUUGGCAAGCAUGGUGGAUAUCUCAAGAUCUGGUAUCUUCCGUUUAUUAGUCACGAUAUCUUUCAUGUACUUGGCAUACAAAGACAUUUUGAGCAUAUCAGUUAACCGCAUCUGCAGAAAGAUGGGUCUUAUCAUCUCAACGAAGCGCUCAAAAUCCUCAUCAUCCUUUUUCUUGGAUGGCUUAGGAAGAAAGGGCAAAGAUCUCUGAACCCAUGGCUCCCUUUAUUUACCAUGCUUCCUAGCAGUGAAGUCAUUCUUAUCGUAUUUCUUAGGCUGUCGGUUAUCAGGAUUAACCGAAGGUUCAAUCUCAACAUCCUCAACAUUGCGAGGUUGAGCAUUAUUAUGAACAUCACUGUCCGUAUUGUCACCAGGUUCAUGUUCAUCACCAGAUUGUGUUACUGCAUCAGACACAGAAAUAUCAUUAGGUUCUUCAGGUGUGACAGUAUUUGGUGAACUAGCAUGCAGGCUUCUAUCAUCCUUCUUCUUCUCCUUAGGAUGACUAGGUGUAUCUGCAUUGAUUCCUUAAGAAUCUUGAUCAAUUCUCUUAGGAUGACCUUCAGGAUACAAAGGUUCGUGAGUCGUUUUGCCUCCUCUAGUAAUGACUCUGACAGAGUUGUUAUUUAAUUCAUUGAGCAAGUCAUUCUGAGCUUUAAGUACUUGUUCUACCUGAGUAGUAAUCAUAGAGGCAUGUUUACUCAGAAGCUUCAGAUCAUUGACAUUUCUGUCUACACAAGCACUUAAAUGGCUAAGCAUACGAGUACUUUGUUCCAAAUGUCCGCUAACAUAAUCAUUGAAACUCUGUUGUUUGGCAACAAAGUUGUCAAAUUCAUCAAAGCAUAGGCUAGAAGNNNNNNNNNNNNNNNNNNNNNNNNNNNNNNNNNNNNNNNNNNNNNNNNNNNNNNNNNUCUACUACCUAUAUUGGGUUAUCGAGACCAUGGAUCUCUUCGAUACGUGGUAGAUUUUUGACAUCUUCAGAUCUAAUGCCUUUCUCUUGCAUAGAUUUCUUGGCUUCUUGCAUAUCUUCGGGACUGAGGAAUAAAAUACCUCUUUUCUUGGGAGUUGGCUUAGGAGGUGGUUCGGGAAUAGUCCAAGCAUUAUCGUUGAUCAAGAUGUUAUUCAGUAGGGUCUCAGCUUGUUCUACAGUUCGUUCCCUAAAAACACAACCGACACAACUAUCUAGGUGGUCUCUAGAGGCAUCGGUAAGUCCGUUAUAGAGGAUAUCAAGUAUCUCGUUCUUCUUAAGAGGGUGAUCAGGCAAAGCAUUCUGUAGCUGGACGAGCAUCCCCCAAGCUUGUGGAAGACUCUCUUCUUGGAGUUGAGCAAAGUUGUAUAUUUCUUGCAAGGCAGCUUGCUUCUUAUGGGCCGGGAAAUAUUUCUCACAGAAGUAAUAGACCAUCUCCUGGGGACUACUCACACAUCCAGGAGCAAGAGAGGUGAACCAGGCUUUAGCGUCAUCCUUUAGAGAGAAAGGAAACAACUUAAGGAUAUAGUAGUGGCGGAUCUUCUCCUCAUUAGUGAAAAGGGUGGCUAUAUCGUGUAGUUUGGCAAGAUGGGCUACGACCGUCUCAGAGUCAUAACCGUGAAUAGGAUCAGAUUCGACUAGAGAGAUUAUCUCAGGAUCGACAGAGAAUUCAUAAUCCUUAUCGGUGAUAAAGAUAGGUGAAGUGGCAAACUUCGGGUCAUAUUUCAUCUUAGCUUUCAGAGAUUUUUUUCCGAGAAGUAAUUUCUCAGCGUCAUAGGCAUCCUUACACGCAAGAAAAUCCUCAGCUAUAUCUCCCUCCAUAACGUAACCCUCAGGUAUAUCAGGCAAUUCAUAUCUAGGAGAGCUACAUCUAGCAGGAGCAAAUGCAGGUUCUAUCUCAAUAGUAUCAGAAGUAUCUGAAGCAUCACGAGCAUUGGCAGUAACUCUAGCAAUAUGAGCAUGAAGGAACACCCCUAGUGGAACAUCAGGCAAAGUAGCAUCUCUAGAAGUAUCAAGCAUAGCAUUAUCAGGCAAAAUAGCAUCUCUAGCAUCAUCAGGAAAAGCAGUAUCAGGCAUAGUAUCAACCAUAGCAUCUCUAGCAGUAGCAUCAUAAGCAUCAUCAAGCACAAGCGACAUAUCAAGAUUUCUAGCAGGAGGUGAUGUCGGAAACUUACUCAUAACUGAAGGUGAAUCAAGUGCAGAGCGAGAUGGCAAUUCCUUACCUCCCCUCGUAGUUGAGGGCAAGACUUUGGUUUUUGGAUCCUUCAGAUUCUUCAUAGUGAUCAGCAGAUAUAAAUCCCAAGUAACUCAGAGAAUAUAACNNNNNNNNNNNNNNNNNNNNNNNNNNNNNNNNNNNNNNNNNNNNNNNNNNNNNNNNNNNNNNNNNNNNNNNNNNNNNNNNNNNNNNNNNNNNNNNNNNNNAAAAUCACGUUGAGUACUUUGUUGUAGUCGUUUUUUUACUUCUGACAUAGUACUAUUUCCGCAGCACUCAGUUCAUGAUUGAGGAAUUUCCUCACUAGGAAUUUCCACAAUGAUGAAAUAGUAAAAAUCGCCUGUUCACCCCCCUCUAGUCGAUAUAACGCACUUUCAAUUGGUAUCAGAGCUAGGUACUCCCUUGUUUUGUGUGGUUUUGGUUUAACCGCCUGGAGUUUUAGUUAUGUCGACCGCGGGUAUGAUCAAGGUUACUGCAAGAUAUCCUACCUUCGAAGGAAAGGACUUCCCCUACUAGAAGACCAAGAUGCAAAUGCAUCUUCAAGCAAUUGACAUCGGUCUCUGGUAUAUUGUGGAAAAUGGUAUUCCCUCCAUCACUGCUACUAUCUGUGUCGCUGAUGUGAAGAGGUUCAAAUAACUUGCCUCGCAAGCGAAGAAUAUCAUCUAUGGCCACCUGAGCAAAGGUCAGUGUGGCAGAGUUAGUGCUUUGGGCAUAGUGAAGCUUAUCUAGGUACGUUGUCCAAAGUCAAUGAGGGAGUCUCAACACAGCGUGACUCUUGUGUCGAUGUUCUUCGCAAUCUCUAUAAUGGUUUCAAGAGGCUUGACAAUUAAAGUUGCCAAGAUACCUUUUAUUGCCUCACUCACAUCUCAAAUGAAUUGCAAGCACUCGGAGCUAGAGACAUCCCUGGCCAUGAAGUUGUGAAGAAACUUCUACGAUCUCUUGAUCCAUCAUUUGACACACUGGUUCUGAUGAUCCAAGAACAAAUAGACUACAAGAUGCUUGAUCCUGCUGAAAUACAUGAGAGACUCAACACUCAUGAAUUUCAACAAGAAGAAAAGAGAGAUAUGUAUGGACCAAGCUAUUCAAGACCUCGUGCGCUGAAGUCUAAGGUUGUUUCCUCGUCUGAAGAAUAUGAUUCGGAUUGCAGUCUUGGUGACCCUGAAGAACAUGGACAGGAACUUGCAAUGCUAGUGAGGAAAUUUCAAAUGUUCACAAAGCGUGGCCAGUUCAGAAGAUCUUCAAGAAAAGAUAUGACGAAAUAAGAAUAUUCAUGUGUAGACUACAAGAAAAGAACUGCCACAAAUGCAAGAAAUCUGGUCACUGCAUUGGAGAUUGUCCUCGUGAUACGUCUCCAACGUAUGUAUAAUUUUUGAUGAUUUCAUGCUAUUAUCUUGUCAAACUUUGGAUGUUUUAUAUGCCUUUUAUAUCUUUUUUUGGACUAACUUAUUAACUCAGUGCCAAGUGCCAGUUCCUGUUUUUUUUCCAUGUUUUUGACCCCUUUCAGAGGAGGAUUUUAAACGAAGUCCAAACGGAACGGAACUUCCAAAAAGAUUUUUUCCGAAACAAAAGAAGAUCGGGAAGCGUGAGAAUCGGGGUAGGGGGCCAGCAGGGACCCCAGAAGCCCCUUAGCCGCGGCCAGGGGGCCCGCGCCUCCCAGGCUUGUGGGCUCCCUGGGCCACCUCUGCCCUAGGUCUUUCGCCUAUAUAGUCCCAUAAAUUACAGAAAAAAUCAGGAGAUCAUCGAAAGUACUUUUCCGCCGCCGCAAGCUUCUGUCUCCGUAAGAUCCCAUCUAGGGCACGUUCUGGUGCCCUGUCGGAGGGGGGAUUCAGAUACAGAGGGCUUCUUCAUCAACACCAUGACCUCUCCGAUGAUGCGUGAGUAGUUCACCAUAGACCUACGGGUCCAUAGCUAGUAGCUAGAUAGCUUCUUCUCUCUCUUGGAUCUUCAAUACAAAGUUCUCCAUGAUCUUCAUGGAGAUCUAUCCGAUGUAAUCUUCUUUUGCGGUGUGUUUGUCGAGAUCCGAUGAAUUGUGGAUUUAUGAUCAUAUUAUCUAUGAAUCUUAUUUGAGUUUCUUCUGAUCUCUCUUAUGCAUGAUUUCAUAUCCUUGUAAUUCUCUUCGAGUUGUGGGUUUUGUUUGGCCAACUAGAUCUAUGAUUCUUGCAAUGGGAGAAGUGCUUGGUUUUGGGUUCAUACCGUGCGGUGACCUCACCCAGUGACAGAAGGGGUAGCGAGGCACGCAUCAUGUUGUUGCCAUCAAGGGUAAAAAGAUGGGGUUUUCAUCAUUGGUUUGAGAUUAUCCCUCUACAUCAUGUCAUCUUGCUUAAGGCUUUACUCUGUUCGUCAUGAACUCAAUACACUAGAUGCAUGCUGGAUAGCGGUCGAUGUGUGGAGUAAUAGUAGUAGAUGCAGAAAGUAUCGGUCUACUUGUCUCGGACGUGAUGCCUAUAUGUAUGAUCAUUGCCUUAGAUAUCGUCAUGACUUUGCGCGGUUCUAUCAAUUGCUCGACAGUAAUUUGUUCACCCACCGUAAUAUUUGCUAUUUUGAGAGAAGCCUCUAGUGAACACUAUGGCCCCCGGGUCUACUCCACACCAUAUUUUCAGCCUUACUCUUUUUCUUCGUUGCACUUUCCUCCGUCAGAUCUCACUUUGCAAUCAAUCUUGAAGGGAUUGACAACCCCUUUAUAGCGUUGGGUGCAAGCUCUUUUGUGUUUGCGCAGGUACUCUGGACUUGACGAGAUUCUCCUACUCGAUUGAUACCUUGGUUCUCAAAUUGAGAGAAAUACUUACUGCUCCUGUGCUGCAUCACCCUUUCCUCUUCAAGGGAAAAGCCAACGCAAGCAAGUCUCCAUCAACGUGUCAAUUUCUGGCGCUGUUGUUUGAGAAGUAGCACCUCACUCGGUGAAAGAAUCAAAAAACAGAAAUCUUCAAAAUCUUCAUUUCAAAGUCCUCAUCGCACAAGAAGACCACUUUCAGAAAGGCACGGUCACUCAUUGGCAAGAAAAUGGACUCUCAAGAAGAAUACGAGGAAUGUGAUGAAGAGGAAGGUUUUGAAGUGGAGUCAGAAUCAGGUGUGGCAACCCUUGCACUUGCUACCACAUUCGUCAGCAAGUCGAUCGUCAACCUUGAAGAAAACGACAACGCCAACUACAUCGAUGAAUAUGCUGAUGACUUCGCUCCAACCUAUUGCUUCAUGGCAAAAGGUUCAAAGGUACGAAACCACACUACCUCCUCUGAUUCUAGUGACUGUGAACCUGAUGAUUAUCAAAAACCCAAUUACUAUAAACUUGCAAACAUUGCCACUAAGCAACAAAGUUCUAUUAAAAAGCUUCAAAAACUGCUAGACUAAAGUGAUGGUCUGUUGAAUGAUGAAAUGAAUCGUACUCCAGUACUCACUGAAGAUGUUCAAAGUCUUCACCUAGAUUUGAUAGUCUUCAAGAUCUCUAUGGCACACUCUUGGGUGAUCAUGAGAAACUUUCCUAUGAAUUUCUUCAAAGGAAGCUUGAUUUUGAGAAGUUAAGAAUGUCUGAUGAUGAUCUUCGAAUGGAAAAUGAUUCAUUGCUUGCUCAACAGAUUAGUACCGCUCACGUAGAAUUCAUUCCACCAUGUCUGAAAUGCAUCGAGCGUGAAACUGCUAAUUUUUCACCUGAAUCAUCAAAUGCUUCUACUACAAAUUCUUCAACUGUUACUGUGGUAUCAAAUUAUACACUUGAGGAAACCACAAAUGCUAUUGACGAAAAUGCAGGAUUGAAGGAAUUGUAUGUGACAGGCAUAUACGAAAGUCUCAAAGGGCAUCAAACCCUUUGCGAUGUGCUCGAAAAGCAUAUUCUAAACAGGAACCCGAGGAAAGAGGGCCUUGCCUUCGAGAGGAAAUUGAAUGUUGAUGGAUCAUACUAGAAACCUGAGCAGUACCCCAAAACCUCAUGGGUUGCUGCUAAAGGUCCUACCAUUGAUUCAUCCACUCUAACAGGCUUUGCAUGUGAAAUGUCCUAUUACUCUGAUGAGCCUUUUGACUCCAACUGUAAACUGUUCAAAAAUCAAUCUGGUGAAGUAUUUUCUCGAUAUGUUGGAACUAACUUCAGGAAUGGACCUUCUGUGAGGAAAAUAUGGGUCCCCAAAACUUGCUUGGAAAAUCUUCAGGUGAAUGUCCUCAUGACACCACGAGUGAAGAACCAGAACCCCAGAUCAAAUUCCUCAGGUGGACCAAAGUCUUCACGAGGAUCAAAUUUUUCAAAUGGUCAAAAUUAUGCUCGUACUCGCACUAAUGCUUCUGAUAUGCAGGGAAACUACAAGGUACAUGAAUAUGAGCAUUAUUCCUCAAAUCAUUAUGUUCAUAAGUCCUCAAGGAAUUUCUCUGCCUAUUCAUUUGAGUACUCUAUCCCCCCCCACUAUGAAAAGAAGUGCAUUAGCUUCAAUGCCUCCAUUCUCAUAUGGUGCUCGCAGAAUGAUGAACUCUUUGCCACCCCUUCAUAUGGGGGUGGUGAAGAAAUCGAACUAAUCACUUCUGCAGGUCAGGUCUCCAGAUGAAAGUCAUUAUCUGAAGAAUUUGCUGGAGACCUGAGGAAAUUGCUUGAUUGGACGCAAGCUAAAACAUGUUGAAAUGAUAACAUUUCACACUUCCUAAAAUUUACUAUUCAUGAUGAAAUUCUUGUCUGAUGAAAUUGAUAUCAUAUUCUUCAAGUCUGAAGCAUAUGAGAUGGUAAGAUGUACUAAUUCAUCUACAGGAUGACAAACCCAAGAAUACAGAGUGGGUUCUUGAAAGUGGUUUCACAAAUCACAUGACUGGUGAUAAAAGCUUAUUGAUGAAUAUACCACUGACUCCAUCACCACUGAAGCAAAUCACUUAUGCUGAUAAAGGUAAAAGCAAGGUAUUGGGACUUGGUAAAGUGGUUAUUUCUAAGGAUCGACACAUGGACAAGGUCAUGCUUGUCGAAUCCCUUAGGUUUAACCUCAUGUCAGUCUAAAUGCUUCGUGAUCUUAAUAUGAUUGUCAUCUUUGGAAAAUAUAGAUAUGUAGUCAUCAUGGAGUCUUCGAAGGCUUUAGGAGAGGAGACUUGUACAUUGUUGAUUUUUCACAUGUCCUCAACCAGCCAUAUGUGUACUAGCAAAAACCUCAGAAGGCUGGCUAUGGCAUUGACGACUUGAUCAUGAACGCAUGUGGAAUUUUCACACACUGACAAAGAAGAAGCAUGUCAUUUGCAUCGAAUCUGUCAAAUUCCUCAAGGACCAUCUCUAUGGUGCUUGUGAGUCUGGAAAAAUGACCAGAUCCAAACACCCCUCAAAGACUAUCAUGACUACUACUCGUCCAUUUGAAUUGCUUGACAUGGAUCUAUUUGGACCACUCAUUAUGCUACUCUAACCAAUGCACCAUCUAUAUAUGGCUUUGUCAUCAUUGAUGACUAUUCUCGUUAUACUUGGGUACACAUCAUUGCUUACAAAAAUGAAGUGCGGGAAGUCUUCACACGAUUUUCCUCAAGGGCCUCAACAAACUUCGAUGUCAAGAUCAAACACAUCAGGAUUAAUAAUGGGACAUAAUUCAAAAAUACUAGUCUUGAUGAUUAUCUCGAUGAACUUGGUAUUACUCACGAAUUGUUUGCUCCUUAUACUCCUCAACAGAAUGGUGUCGUUGAAUGCAAGAACAAGACUCUGGUUGAAAUGGCAUGGACUAUGCUUGAAUAAUAUCAUACUACUCCUCGCUUUUGGCCUGAAGCAAUCAACACUGCUUGCCACAUCAUCAAUAGGGUAUAUCUUCACAAAUCGUGAAGAAAACCUCAUAUGAACUCCUCACUGACAAGAAACCCAAUGUAAGUUAUUUCAAAGUCUCCGAUGGAAGAUGUUGGAUUAGAGAUCCUCACCAUAGCUCAAAGUUUGCACCUAAAGCACAUGAGGGUUUUAUGCUUGGUUACGGAAAGGACUCACACACCUACAAAGUCUUCAACACCUAUCACAACAAGGUUGUUGAAACUCUAGAUGUGUGGUUCGACAUAUAGUAAAGAGAGCAACUGCCUCCUGUGCCAGAUAAAUUGACUCGUGAGGAAGCUAUUAAGCACAAGGCUACUGAAGAUAUCUUUCCUACUGAGGAACAAACCCUUGUUGAAGAAGUCGUCCCCAACACGGGGAAAAUGCUACAGAUCAAAUUCCUUGGACCAAGCAAAGUAUUCAACCAGCUCAUCCAAGGAUUGCAAAUGAAGUGUAAGUUGACAAAAUCCUCGAUGACAUCAAUGCGCCAGGUCCUCUCACUUGCUCAAAAGCUUCACAUUUAGUUAACUUUUGUGGUUAUUCCUAUUUUGUGUCUAUCACAUAACCCUCAAAAGUUGUUUAAGCCUUCAUGGAACCUGAGUGGAUUCAAGCCAUGCAAGAUGAACUUCUUCGGUUCAAGCUAAAUGACGUGUGGGAACUCGUCAAAAGACCAGAUCCUCGCAAACACAAUAUCAUCGGCACCAAGUGGAUCGACCGAAACAAACAAGACGAGGAUGGUCAGGUUGUGAGGAACAAGGCACGACUUGUAGCCCAAGGCUACACACAGGUUGAAGGAAUUGACUUUGAUGGAACUUUUGCACCUGUUGCUAGACUUGAAGCUAUUCGAAUAUUACUUGCUUAUGCUAACCAUAACAGUAUUACUCUAUAUCAAAUGGAUGUGAAAAGUGCAUUCCUCAAUGGUAAGCUUGAGUAAGAAGUAUAUGUUUUCAGCCCCCGGGUUUUGAAGACCCAAAGCACCCUGACAAAGUCUUCAGACUCAAAAAGGCACUCUAUGGCCUCAAGCAAGCCCCUCGGGCGUGGUAUGAUACAUUGAAGGAAUUCCUCAUUAAGAAAGGCUUCAAACCCGGUUCACUUGAUCCUACUCUUUUCACAAAAUCCUAUGACAAUGAACUAUUUGUGUGCCAAAUAUAUGUCGAUGACAUUAUUUUUGGUUGUACUGAGAAACGCUACAGUGAUGAAUUUGCCUACAUGAUGGGUGAAGAAUAUCAAAUGUCAAUGAUGGGGAGCUGAAAUUCUUCUUAGGUCUGCAAAUUUGUCAACAACGCACUGACAUCUUCAUAUCUUAGGAGAAAUACCUCAAGGAUGUUCUGAGGAAAUUCGGCAUGCAUGAAUGAAAAGGCGUCAAGAUACCAAUGCCUACCAACGACCAUCUCUCCACUGAUGAAAAUGGUAUAGAUUUCGAUCAGCGGGUAUAUCGUUCUAUGAUGGGCUCUUCCUUGUACCUCUGUGCAUCUAGGCUAGACAUCAUGCUUAGUGUUUGCAUGUGUGCACAUUUUCAAGCAAAACCGAAGGAAUCACACCAUAAGGUUGUGAAACAUAUUCUUCGAUAUCUAACUCACACACCAACACUAGGAUUAUGGUACCCCAAGGGCUCAAAUCUUCACUUCAUUGGAUAUUCUGAUUCUGGUUAUGCUGGUGACCGUGUGGAUCGCAAGUCAACAUCAGGCACAUGUCAUUUCCUCGGGUGAUCCUUCGACCGUUGGUCCUCAAAGAAGCAAAGCUUCGUAUCACUCUUCACUGCUGAAGCUGAAUACAUUGCUGCUGGGUCUUGCUGUGCUCAUCUACUAUGGAUGAAGCAAACCCUCAGAGAUUACGGCAUCAACAUGAAGAAUGUGACACUCUACUGCGACAAUGAGAGUGCAAUCAAGAUCGCCUACAACCCAGUACAACACUUGAAGACCAAGCACAUCCAGAUUCAUCAUCAUUUUCUUCGUGAUCAUGUACCCAUGGGCAAUAUCAUCAUCGACCAUGUGCAGACUGAUGGCCAGCUAGCAGAUAUCUUCACAAAGCCCUUUGAUGAGAGAAGGUUUUGCAAGUUGCGGUGUGAGCUCAAUAAAAUGUUUUGUAAACAUGCACACAUCCUAACACUUAUGCAAUAUUGAUGACUUAGAUGUGCAACACACGAAGUAACGAUUUUCUUCAAUCAAUGAAGAAUAUCACUCUAAGUGUGAAGAAAUUAAUCGAAUUUGGUUCUGAGGGCCAUACGAUAAUUGUACGUGGCACCAAAAAUCAUCAUUCUUAUACGGCGGGUCACGCCACCACCAAACUUUGCAAUUCUUCAAAUUGGGAAUUCUUCAAAGUUGAAAUUCUUCAAUCUGGGACUUUUUCACAAAUUCCUCAAAAUUUUCAAAGUCUUCGAAAUUUCAAAUUAUUCAAAACUUUAUGUGAUGAUCUUCGUUGAAUAUAUAUAUAUAUUAUAAUGAGCUUUCAUUGUCCUCAACAGCAUUCACUUAUUGCUAAGUCUUUAGUUUGAUAUUUCUUCCAAGUGAAUGUGAUCGGACCCGUCUCCCCUCUAUGCUAAGCUCAACCCAGUCUAUUCUCAAUUCUUCAUAUGCGUUCUAGUUUACACUUGUUCAAAAUCCUCACUGAGUUCUUGUCAGCCGAGGACUUUGUAACAGAAUUCUCAAAAUUCAAAAAUUAAUUUUAACGUUACCACAGUAACUCCACCCACUACUCACGAUAGGAUAACCACGAUCUACACCGCUUCAAUCAUGGGUAGCACGUGUCAUGCGGAGAUGAAAGGGCAAGGGCAGUUUCGUCCAAAGUUUUCGCUUCACUAUAUUUCACCUGAGCUAUAAAUAUCCCCUUACCCCCCCUUCAGUCAAAAAUUCUUCUCUCCGUCUUGACUCCUCCGAUCGAGCUCAAAACCUAGCGCCGCCGUUAGCAUCCUCGUCGUCAGUGAGGAACAACUUCUCUGCCUCGAUCUCGCCGUCAUCGGAAUCACGCCGACUGUAGAUCAUCUUCCUCUGCUGCCGCCAUAGCUAACUUUAGUUGCCAAGUUAUGGUAGUGAAGAUCUGAACCAAAGAUCUUCAAUUUGUACUUACCCGGUUCAUCGCGUUCUUCACAUAGGGUAAUUAAAAUCCUAUUUUACUCUCCCUGUUGAUCCAUUUAUUCUCUUUGAAUUCAUGAAAUCAAUUUUUCCUCCGAAAAUAUUUCAGCUGUGCACACCCAUGUCUAGACCACUUAAUGAGUUUCACUAAGUCCCUAAAUUCUUCACGAGAUUCCUCAAUUGUGUAAAUUUUCGAAUCUGCACAACUCUGGAACCCAAGAUCAGAAUGCUUAGUCAAAUUCCUCAACACACUGGUCAAAUUCCUCAACUUAAGUAAUUUUUAAAUUUCCUCAAAUCUCAGAAUGCAUGUGACCUCUCCAAAUUCUUCGCACCUAUACUUUGUUCACACGUACAAAAUGCCAGCUCAUGAAUCACUAGGUUCUCAUCAACUUAACUCAUCUGCAUAAUUUCUUGAAGAAACAUUACAUGUGUCCUCAUAUUCCUCAAGAAUACAAAUUCCUCAGCAAAAACCUUAGCUGAAGAAAAUGGAGGAAGACAGAAAACAGAAGGGUGGCAAGAAACUGGAACAGAACACUCCUUUUGAAAUUCCAUAAGAGAUAUAUGCUAAGUACUGCACGGCAGAUGAAGAAAUUCAUGAAAAAGAGACCAUGGCAAAACCAAAGAUAAGGCUUCAAAAGAUUGAACGCGGAUGGGGAAAGGAGUGGAUGGAAUAUAGGUAUGUCACUCCAAAGUAUGCCAAGAAGUUUUCCCUCAAACCUCCUUGUUGGGGAACGUAGUAAUUUCAAAAAAAUUCCUACGUCACACCAGGAUCUAUCUAUGGAGAAACCAGCAACGAGCAAAGGGGUAGAGCAUCUUCAUACCUUUGAAGAUCGCUAAGCGGAAGGUUUGCUAGAACGCGGUUGAUGGAGUCGUACUCGUAGCGAUUUAGAUCGCGGUGGAUUCCGAUAUGUGCGCCGAACAAAGGCGCCUCCGCGUUCAACACACGUGUAGCCCGGUGACGUAUCCAACGCCUUGAUCCAGCAAGGAGAGAGCAGAGGUUGAGGGAGAGAUCCGACAACACGAUGGCAUGGUGACGGUGGAGCUGUGUGGUACUCUGGUAGGGAUUCACCAAUCUCUACGGAGGAUGAGGAGGAACUCGAGGAGGGUUGCACCGUGGAGAGGUGGAAUUGUGUUGUGUGCACCCCCAAAACCCUCCACUAUAUAUAGGAGGAGAGAGAGGAGGGUUCCCACCCCUAGGGUUUCCACCCUAGGUGGUGCGGUAGCCCUAGAUGGGCAAGGGGCGGCGGCCAAGGGUGGAGGAGGUGGCGCCCUAGGGUUAGCCCACCCUGCCCACUUGUGCGCCUUGGGCUGGGGUGGGUGGCGCACCAGCCGACUUAGGGGCUAGUUCCCAUCCACUUUCAGCACACGUACCCCUUCAGGGAUGGUGGCCGUUCCCCAUGGACCCCCGGAACCCUUCCGGUGGUCCCGGUACAAUACCGACAAACUCCAAAACUCUUCCGGCAAUCAAAACUCCACUUCCUAUAUAUUAAUCUUUACCUCCGGACCAUUCCAGAGCUCCUCGUGACGUUCGGGAUCUCAUUCGGGACUCCGAACAACCUUCGGUAACCACGUAUACUAUUUCCAUAACAACCCUAGCAUCAUCGUACCUCAAGUAUGUAGACCCUACGGGUUCGGGAACCAUGCAGACAUGACCGAGACACCUCUUCGGUGAAUAACCAACAGCAGGGCCUGGAUAUCCAUGUUGGUUCCCACAUGUUCGAAGAUGAUCUCAUCGGAUGAACCACGAUGUCGGGGAUUCAAUCAAUCCCGUAUGCAAUUCCCUUUGUCUACCGGUAUGAUACUUGCCCAAGAUUCGAUCGUCGGUAUCCCUAUACCUUGUUCAACCUCGUUGCUGGCAAGUCUCUUUACUCGUUCCAUAACACAUCAUCCCGUGGCUAACUCCUUAGUCACAUUGAGCUCAUUAUGAUGACGGUUUACCGAGUGGGCCCAGAGAUACCUCUCCCUCACACGGACACUUUCGGAGAUACAUGUAGUGCACAUUUAUAAUCACCCAGUUAUGUUGUGACAUUUGAUACACCCAAAGCACUCCUACGGUAUUCGAGAGUUGUACAAUCUCAUGGUCUAAGGAAAUGAUACUUGACAUUAGAAAAGCUUUAGCAGAGAACAGUACGAUCUAGUGCUAUGCUUAGGAUUGGGUCUUGUCCAUCACAUCAUUCCCCAAUGAUGUGAUCCCGUUAUCAAUGACAUCUAAUGUCCAUGAUCAGGAAACCAUGAUCAUCUAUUGAUCAACGAGAUAGCCAACUAGAGGCUCACUUGGGACACAUUGUGAUCUAUAUAUUCACACAUGUAUUGUGGUUUCCUAUUAAUACAAUUACAGCAUGAAUAAUACACAAUUAUCGUGAACUAGGAAAUAUAAUAAUAACCACUUCAUUAUUGCCUCUAGGGCAUAUUUCAAACACUCCUUGCAAAAGACUGCCACAAGGAGAUCAACAAACACCACAUCUUUCCAGUGUUGCCACAAUUGAAGACUAUCCUGAUGCAAAAGUUGUUGUCACAAAGUUUAAUGAGGACUCUUCUGCUGCAGCAACUACUGCCACUUCUUCUGCUACUGAGGCUUCUGCUACAGAACAACCUUAGAAUAAAGUCCUCAUAAAGAAACCAGGUCUCAAUCCAAAUCCCUCCACAACAUUAUCAAAAGAGGAAAUUCGUCAUAAAGUAGCAACAACGGUUGCCAAGUCCUCAACUGCAGCAAAGUCUUCACCUCCUCUGCAGUCACAACAUCAAACAGGAAAUCCAAGUUCCUUUGUACCAUCUGCUUCAGGUUCAGUCUCAAAUCUUCACCUGGCAUACUGAGGACAAAGAUGACUGCUGGAAGGGGAACAAGGCCAAGCCCUAGCAAUAUUGUUAACAUUCCUUCUCCAUCAGAAGGAAGUGAAGAAUAUGAUGAGGAAACUCUUGAAGCCAUCAUUAGAAACAAGCAAGAAAGGAUUGCACAAACUACUCGCAACACCAUUCCCCUCGCACUGGAUCCAAAAGUUGUGCUGAACUUUAUCGACCUUUGGCAUGAGGAUCCAAACACACCAAUUGAUGAUUUUAAACUUCCACCUAGACUCAGUCAUAUGGUCACAUCAUUCAUCAAUGAAGAAAAAUGGAAGGAUCAGCAAGCCAAAAAAGCCCAGGCUGCAAAGGUUAAAAAGGAGAAUUACUUGAAGCAAAACAUCUUUAACCUGACGCCUCAGAAACUUGUUUCUACUCAGGCAGAGCUGAAAAAGCUCACUAACAAAUACACAAGUCAUCAUGCGGACCGCAAGGUUGUCAAAGUGAGGUUUUUCCAGGCCGCAACUCAAGCAAUUGAUGAAUACAACAACAGGGUUGCAGCCCCAAAGCAACGAGUAACUCCUCAACCCAGCUAUAUUGUACAACUCGUUGAUUGUGAUGAAGAUCAAGAAGCGGCUGCUGAUGAAAUUAAACAGAAUAUUCCAGCUGAAGAGACUGCCAUGCCUGACACUGCUCAUGCAAUGUCUGAUGAAAAUGUACCUUCACCAAUGACUUCAAGAGUGAAGAAAGUGACUCUUCCGUCUGCAUCAGACGUGAAGAAAAAAAAGCUGCUGAGGAGAAAGCAAAGAAGAGAAAGGCAUCAACACCCUCAAAGUCUCCAGAGGCAAAAUGCCUGAAGAAUCUGCCUACUAUAUCAUCAGCUCUAGUGGAUGCAACUCCCCUCAGCAUUGUACCAUCAUACAUGAUUGUUCCAUUUGGUGAAGAGCACAUCAUUCCAGAACAUGACGAGGAAAUGGAUGACAAUCGCUUUGUUGCAUCCACACCAGUUGAUGGGCAAAUUCAAGCUGAUCAAAUUCCUCAUGUCUCAAUACCUCCUCCUCAGAACCCAGAAAUGAGUGCUAAAGAAAACGAGCUUGAUUAAGACAUUGGCAGCAGUACACUUGUUAUCCAUGAUGAGUUUUGGGAAAAGACUCACCCAAACUCGCCAAUGACCACACAAAUUCCUCAAACUCAUGCAGUCACUGAAAUCCUGACUGGCUAUGAAUAAAAGAGCUCACAUGUGAAAUCAGCACCACACCAAGAAUCAGCUGCUUCAGCUGAAGAAGCUGAAAAGGAAAUUGUUAUAUUAGAAACUGCAUCUGCUCCUUCAGCACAGCAAAUUCCUCAAACUGAAGAACAAGCCCCUGAUGAAAAUGCCUCAUCACAGGAUAAAAUUACUAGUGAUGAAACUGCAAUUGUGGUUACAAAUCCUAAAACUGCAAUUGUGGUGGCAAAACUCCUCAAGACGAUCAACAUCAUAAUCUUCAACCAAAGCAUCAUCAACCCUUCUCAAAGAGGCCAAAGUUUCUGAAGGAAGACUUCUACGAUGAACAUCGUUUCUUCAGUUGAGAAAAUCCUUACAUAGACUUCAUAUCAGGUAUAGAAAGUUCUGGACCAGAAGUCAACUUAAUUACUAUGCUUCUAUGCUCUGUGGAAAAAGGAAGAUAUUUCAUCACACCCACAUUCCUCACUAUGACAUGGAGGAAAUUCCUUGCUUCACCCCAAUACUAAAUGUUCUUCACAAAGCAGGGCUACUACCAUUCUGCACAGAUAUCGGUGACUGGAAUAUAGACAUUAUUCUUCAGUUUUAUGCCACACUGCAUAUCUCUGGUGACCCCAAAGACAUCAACUCACGGGUCUUGGACUGGAUGAGAUAGCACAUCACUACAAAGCUCCAGCCACAGAAUUGCUUCGAGCUCUACCCAUCUCAAUUCCUUCAGAUGAUGCAAUCAAACUGUAUGAUGAAAGAGAAUUGCCAAAUAAGCUCAUGGAGGUCCUCAUGAAACCUUUGGCUCCGGGCCAACCUCCAAGGACAAGAUUCCUCAUGAAGGAAUUGAAGCAUGUGCCUAGAACUGUCUACAGAAUAUUGGCAUAUUCCAUUGCACCUAUCAAAGGGCAUGAUAAGGAAGAAAAUGUUGUUGGAAUCAUGAAGAACAUCCUGUUCAAUGUCAUUCAUGGCAUCAAAAUGAACCUUUACGAUUUCUUCUUGAGGACUUUGGCUGAUAAUGCCUUGUCACCAUUUGAGCCAAAGAUUUAUGCGCCUUGGAUCAUGAGAUUCAUCCGAAACAGAUCCGCCAUCAACUACCAAGAUGACUUUCAGAAUCACCUCGGUUAUCUGCCGCCUCUCAAAGUCAUCAAGAAAUUGUUUGAACCAGUUGAAGACAAAGGCAAGUCAAUGAUUGAUGAAGGAAAUCGGCCCCUAGAUGGUCAAUUUCGCAAGGCUGGCUCCUAUUCCUCAUAUGAUGACACUGCCACUCAAGAAUCUGAUGGCAGAGCAAAACCUCCAAGCCCAACUACCCCAAGGGUGAUGACUAACAAAGAGCUUCUCCUCAGUCUUCAUCAGAAAGUCGAUCACAAUCACAAGUGGGUAAAACGCCAGUUUGGCUCCAUUGUGAAAACGCUCAACAAGACUCAAAAUGUUGUGAAGAAAAAUCACUAUUAUCUUCAUGAGGUAUUUGAUCGCACUUGGGCCAUAUUGUCUCACUUGAAGACUCCAAAGGAACUUGAGGAAUUGGAAUUCACUCGCGACUUUGAUUGGUCAUGUCCACCAAAGAAGAAAUUCAAGACCAUUCCAGUUCCUGACUAGGUGGACAACUCAUUUUCUUCAUUCCGCACUGCUGAUUCAGAUGAAGAACCUGCAGAUACUCCAACUGGCCCAACAAGGAAGUCUAACUCAAAGAAUGCUCACGCCUCUACCUCAACACAGAAGUGAAUUUCUUCAUGGGCGUUAGUCCUCAGUUUCAUCCCUUUUCGUCACUUAUUAACAAAGGGGGAGAAAUCUCAGAGUUAGUCUUCAAGCUGGAUAAAUUUAUGGGCUUAUAAACUUUAUUAAGAUAUAAACUCUUGGGUCUUCUGAAGUUUUUGAUGUAAUGAGUUGUAACUUAAUCCUGAUGGUGUUCUGAUACUUUUGAACGUUUUUCCUCGCAUGCCUAUUUCUCAAGUUAAUUAAUGCAUGCAUGAUGAAAUUCGCCAAACACCAUUUUUCAUGAUGCAUUUCAAAUUCCUCAUACUAUAUGUCAAAUGCAUGCAAGAAUUACAAGAUACAGGGGGAGAUCUCCAUGAUAUAUAUCAUCAAUGUGCAUUUGUUGUUCAAAGCAAAUUCCUCAAAACAUGCACAUCUUCAGGGGGAGUUUCUCUGUAUCUUACCUUCAAAAUUCCUCAAACUCAGUAUUUACAUUUCAUAUUAUUAUCCCCGUUGAAAACUUAACCUAUUUGUCAUCAACCACCAAAAAGGGGAAGACUGUAAGUGCAUCUAGGUCCCCUUAGUGAUUUUGGUGGUUUGAAGACUUAUAGGUUAAGAGACUGAUAUGUUUGUGAGUGUACACAUGCUCUAUAAGUCAUUGAGGAGUUUGAGUUAUUCGAUGAUUAUCGACCCCUAAAAAUGUAUGUCUUCGGGUGAAGACUUUCGUCAUUCCUUGAAGGCUUUGAUCAUGAAGAAAUUGCAAAGAAAUUGAUAUCCUCAUGAAGGUAUUGAAGAUGAGGAAUUCGGUGUGUCCCGAAGAAAAUACACUAAAGACUUUGAAGCUUGAAAAUUUACUCUUUCUGUUUCAUUUUCUUCAUACUUGAGUCAUAGAAACACCGUACUGUUAAAGGGGGUCGAGGUAAAACUAUGGAACUAAUUUACUCAUGAUGCUCAACCCAAAGCUACAUCUACCAAAUCUUCAAAGUGAGGAAUAUGAGAGACAUGAGGACUUUCACAGUUGAAAUUUCCGACCGUCGACGCGCCAUGCGCCACCUGUCCAAGAUCUUAUCCACCCAAUGGUCAUAUUAUUAAUGGGCAUUUAUGUCAAAUCAUGUCAGGAUGGUCCCAAGCUAUAAAUAGCCACCCCCACUACUAGAAAAAAGGCUAUAGCUAAUAUGGACACUAAUGGCGCACCAUCUAUGUGGUGUGCCACUGCUAUAUAGCAGUGGCGCACCACAUACAGGUCCACCAUUAUUGGUCAUAUUACUAAUGGCGCACCUGGUGUGCGGUGCGCCAUUACUAGUUUUUGUACUGGCCCCACACCCUUCCCAGACUUAGCAGUGGUGCACGAGGGGCAAGUGCGCCAUUACUAGUUUUAACUAGUAAUGGCGCACCACACCAACUGUGCGCCACUACUAACAAUUUGUUUUUCAAAACUAGCAAUGGCGCACCACACACCAGGUGCGCCAUUAGUAACCCUGGUUACCAAUGGCGCAUUCUUAGGUGGUGCGCCAUUGGUAACCCUGCCCCCACUAUACAUACUCUUCCCUCCCCUGUCUUCUCCCCCGAAUUAGGCCGGCCCUAACCACCUCCCGCCGCCGCCUGGUCCUUCCCCGCCGAUUGACCUAGCACCGCUGCUAGGGUUCCUCCCCCGUCGCCGCCUCUAGGGUUCCUCCCCCGCCGCCCGGUCCUCGCCUCCUCCCUCCGACGAGCGAGGGCCUCCUCCUCCCUCCGACCCACGCCAGCCACCGCGAACGGACCGACACCCGAUGAUGGGCGACGACAAGGCUGCCACCUCCCCCUCCGCCUCCGCCGCGCUCUCCUCCUCCGGCCGCAAGGUUCGCCCCUCUCGCCCCCUCCCUUCUUCAUCUCUCUCUUCUUCUUCUUCUCUUUUGAUUUAAUUUACUGCUCUCCGAAGAUUUAUGAUUGGUGGAUGUCAUCAGCUAACCAUUGAACCAAAUUAGUAUUUAUAAGCAGCUCGCACAAGUUUCAAUCACGUCAUUUUUGUAGAAGAUUUUCUAUGCCUACUUCAGCACAUCAUUUAGCUUCCAUAAUUAUUAAAUUUGUUAUUUUCUGUUACUCUAGAUAGUGUUUGGCCGUAAACUACAUUGCCCAUGGUCCUAUAAACUUGUGAUCUUAUUACAUCUACAAAUCAUAGACAUGGACAUAUACUUGUGUACGAAAACUGUCAUGUGUAUAUAUGGCACCGUCUUAGGAACAUGACAGGAUUAUUCUCAAUAUCAUAAAUUCAAAAUACAGUUAAAAAUACUUCCCUUCGAAAGAAGAAAAAUCUAACAGUAAGGAAGCGUACUGUGAGUAUAUGGCCUACAUGUUACUAUUCCCAACCAAAGUAAAUUGUGCAAGUCAUUGAGGAUUGACAUAUAAUAAGCACGUGAAUAUUGUCCACCAGACUGCAAAACAAAAGGAAAUGUAAGGCCAGUUUGAUUUCAAUACAUGUGCUAACUGAACACGUAAUCAUUGGUCAAUUAUGGCAAUGAUGCUAUAAAUUUGUGAUCUUAUUUUGUUAAGAUAGUAGCACUAUGAAGAUAAGAGACGACUGCAAAACUGAGAUUGUAUACUUGAAUCAGUCCACUUAGUCUAAGUCAUUGACAGAGAAAACAAAUAUCAUCGGGCAUAUUAAUUUGUAGUACCUCGGGCAUUGAGUUGUUUUUUGGAAAAAUAAGCUCAGAAAUAACAUCGAGAGGUGCAGGCGGUGGUGGAGCUUCCCGGGAGGAGCGAAUCGAUGGAUGGCCAUAACUAGCAUGUUCAAACUCAACUUGUUAUGUUCCGAAAUGCAGUGGUUAGCAGAGUAACAACUUAGCUCCAAAUAGAUUUUCUGUGUAAAAAAUCAACUUGUUAUAUUUCUGCUGCUAAUUAGAAGGUCUUUUCCUCUAGUGUGAAGUCUUUGAAAGCCAGUCCUUCUAACAAGGGGUAAAAACAGGGUAGCAAGGCAAGAUACAUGUAAAUAGGUGGCAAUGCUAUAGUAAGAAUCCUCCCUCUCCGAUGUAUACCUUAGAAUGUGGAUAUGCUCAUGCUAAUUAACUGAAUAUGCCCAUGGAUAUAUUAUUUAAUCCAGCAAAUAGAUGCAUUCUAAACGCAUGCAUUAGUCUACUAACAAAGCCUAAGACAUAAUCGUGCAAACAUGACACACCUUCAUUCCUGCCAAAAGAAUAGUCCAAAAUUAACUUGCUUUUGUUCCAAUUCGACAUAGUUUGGGCUAUAAAAAAUGUUGAUGCUCCCACCAGUACUAGUUUUGUCAUGUUACAGUGGAACAUAACACACUGUUACCUGUAUAUGAUUUGAAAUGUUAAAAGCAAUGCGGAUAUUUUUAAAUCGGUGUAGCACUUACAAUAAUGUAUUAAAAUGGAAGCCAACAAGUUAUUGUUGGCAUAAGCUCAAACACAUGGUUGUCAAGAUACACAACAAUUCAUGCCUUAUUGAUUCACUUGUAAUUUGUUUUUAUUGAGAUUUUAUGAUUCGUCGUACAUUAUGUAUGUUUGUAUCUUUGUAGUGAGCGAGAGAAUAGUUGCGCAAUAGUUACCUGACAAAGAUGAAAGAAAAUCCGAACCAAUUAUUAUCUGACAAAGAUGAAAGUAGAAUGAUGAUAUUCUUUAUUAUUGUUCAUUCAUGCUUUUCCUUUUUGAUACUUCCCUUGCACCGAAAGAGUGCUCUUCAUGUUUGGUAGCUUUGCUUGUUUUGCCGAAAUGUUGAUUCAUUUCCGUUCCGGCAAAUUUCAGACGCUCCAUAUGUCCACUUUUUAGUAAAUGUAAUGCCCAAUUUUUCUUUGUUUUAGGAAAUCUCGUCUGACGACGAAUUCAUUAUGUGCGAAUACUGCCAAGACAAGCGCGGCCUUUGCGACACGCCUUUCCUAGUUGAUGAUAGGCGCUUCAGCAUCAUGCUGGAUGAGGACUUCGAAGUGGAUAGAGUAAGUCACAACGACAAGUCUUUUUCGUAAUUAAGCAUGGCUUCUUUUGCUUCAACUUAUAAUUUUUAUUUUUUACUAUUCUACUAGCGUAUCCCCUCCCAUGCAAGACAUUAUGUGUUGGAUAAGAUUGGUUUCAGUACUAAAAUAAAUAUGGAGGUAAAGAUAGUUCACUUGAGGACCGAGCAUGGUUAUACUUUUGCCGUAAAAUUGUACAUUGCAGACACCUACUCAUUUUUUGAAUGCAAAACUUGGGUAGCACUAUGCAAGGCUUAUGCAUUUGAGCCUAAUAAGCUUAUCACCUUUGAUAUUCGUCCGGAAGAUUAAAUUGAAGGUAAUAUCGACAUCUGGGUCGAUGUGCAGACGCCUCCAGUUCUACCAUUAUGUGAGUUUCUCAACCACAUUUAUUAAGUAAUUUAUAUUGUUUAUUUAAAAUAGUUGACAACUUAUUUCCAUUGAGAGCUUAUUUUCAUUCUUAAAAAAUGUACGGAAAAUGGUAGAGAGAACAUAUUACUACAAUGAUGAAGAAGAAUUAACUUGUAAUGAGAAACAUCAUCUUGUCCAAUUUAUCAAUGAUCUUGAGAAUUACAAUACCUAUCAGCAAACUCCCCAACAUUAUGGUCAAUAUGUGCCACUAGUGCACGUGGUGAACUAUGGUAACAUGCAUGGAGAUUGCAUGGUAAGAUUUUCUACUAUUACGAGAUCCAUGCAUCUUUUGCAUAAAUUCUUGUCAAACUAAACUACAUUGCUAGCUACAAAGCUAAUACUAUGUUUUUCAACAGAAAAUCCCGGAAGAUUGUGUGCCUCAUAUGAUGUUACCAAGAGGUCGCGUUGAUGUUAUGAUGAUACGACCAACACGGCCAGGUUAGCCUAGGUAUCUGAUUUACUCAUGUCCAUACCGGAUUUCUAAAACUGAUGAAGUCAUGACAAUCAAAGAUUGGAAAAAAUGUAUGGUCUAUCCUAGAGAGCUACAUGGAAGCAACAUUGUGCGUAGGCCAAGAAUUGGAGACAAGAUGAUCUCCAUUCUCCAUAAUGGAGAGUCAGGGCCUAUAUUGUUUUAUGAUAUUCUACCUAAGCAGAGGAGUAGGUCCUAGGUACAAUGUGUUAUUAUGUGCUACAAUGUGAUGAUGUGCUACAAUGUGUUAAUGUGAUGAUGUGCUACAAUGUAUUAAAUAGUAUUGGUGGUAAUGACUAUGAUGAUUAUUAGCUAGUUCCGAGAUGAUGUGAUGAUGUGCUACAAUGUGUUAGAGUUGACGAUGAUGAUGAUGAGGAGUUGUGAUUAUGACUAGUGACCAACUUUUGUUAUAUGAUGUCUCAUUGACUAUGAUGAUUACUUCUACAUCACUAUGUAUCGCUAUUUUCGAGAUGAUGUGAUAAUAUUUUAUGAAACUAUUGUAUAGAAUAUGUAUCACUUACUUCUACAUCACUUAUAUUAUGUGCUGUAAUGUAUUUUGUAACCCGUGCAAAUAUCAGAAAAGCAAAAAAAAAUUCCUAAUAUUCAUAGUAGUGGCGCACCAUCUAAAAGUGAGCCAUUAGUAAGCCACAACAGUGGCGCACUUUUGGGCCUAGUAAUGGCGCACCAGGUGGUGCACCACUGUUAUGUAGAUUAACAGUGGCGCACCAGGCGUGCGUCGUUACUAUUUAUUAGUAGUGGCGUGAUAAUAGUGGCGCACCUAUAGUGCGGCAUUAAUAGACAAAAUAGGUGCGCCACUAAUAGCCCUUUUUCUAGUAGUGCCCCCACAACCACUAGCUCGUUGGCUGGUGAUGACCCACAAGUAUAGGGGAUCAAUCAUAGUCCUUUUGAUAAGUAAGAGUGUCGAACCCAAUGAGGAGCAGAAGGAUUUGACAAGUGGUUUUCAGCAAGGUAAAAUCUGCAGGCACUGAAAUUGUCGGUAACAAGUGAUUGUGUGGUGAGAUGAUUCGUAGCAAGAAACAAGUCACAAAAGUAGCAACGGUGCAGCAAAGUGUCCCAAUCACUUUUGUAGCAAGGUACAAUCCUGGACAAAGUCUUAUAGGAGGAAAAACGCUCCUGAGGACGCACGGGAAUUUUUGUCACGCUAGUUUCAUCAUGUUCAUAUGAUUCGCGUUCGUUACUUUGAUAGUUUGAUAUGUGGGUGGACCGGCGCUUGGGUACCGCCCUUACUUGGACAAGAAUCCCACUUAUGAUUAACCCCUCUUGCAAGCAUCCGCAACUACGAAAGAAGAAUUAAGACAAAGUCUAACCAUAGCAUUAAACUAGUGGAUCCAAAUCAGCCCCUUACGAAGCAACACAUAAACUAGGGUUUAAGCUUCUGUCACUCUAGCAACCCAUCAUCUACUUACUACUUCCCAAUGCUUUCCUCUAGGCCCAAAUAAUGGUGAAGUGUUAUGUAGUCGACGUUCACAUAACACCACUAGAGGAAAAACAACAUACAACACAUCAAAUUACCGAACGAAUACCAAAUUCACAUGACUACUAUUAGCAUGACUUAUCCCAUGUCCUCGGGAACAAAAGUAACUACUCACAAAGCAUAAUCAUAUUCAUGAUCAGAGAUGUAAUGAGUAGCAUCAAGGAUCUGAACAUAAACUCUUCCACCAAGUAAUCCAACUAGCAUCAACUACAAAGAGUAAUCAACACUACUAGCAACCUUACAAGUACCAAUCGGAGUCGCGAGACGGAGAUUGGUUACACGUGAUGAACUAGGGUUUGGAGAUGAGAUGGUGCUGAUGAAGAUGUUGAUGGUGACGAGUCCCCUCCGAUGAGAGGAGUGUUGGUGACGACGAUGGCGACGAUUUCCCCCUCCGGGAGGGAAGUUUCCCCGGCAGGAUCGUCCUGCCGGAGCUCUAGAUUGGUUCUUCUCAAGUUCCGCCUCGUGGCGGCGGCGAAACCACGAAAAAGCUCCUCCUUGAUUUUUUUUUCUUGGAUGAAACCCUUCAUAUAGCAAAAGAGGGGGGCAAGUGGGCCUGCAGGCUGCCCACAAGCCCUCAUGGCACUUAUAUGGCCCAGUAUUUUUGAUAAAUUGGGAAAAAAUCCCCGUUGAUUUUCACGGUGUUUGGAGUUGCUCAGAAUAGGUAUCUCAACUUUGCUCCACUUUCAGGCCAGAAUUCCAGUUGCCGACAUUCUCCAUCUUCAUGUAAACCUUGCAAAAUAAGAGAGAAAAGGCAUAAGAAUUGUACCGUGAAGUGAAAUAACAGCAAAAGAAGCGAUAAAUAUCAACAUGAAAACAUGAUGCAAAAUGGGCGUAUCAGCUGCUCCGAGAGAAACUAACACUAGUCAUUUAGAGCAACCCAAAUUCCUUAGAACCUUUGAGCGAAAAUCUUCAAGUGAGGAAAUACCCCAAACACCCAAACCCAAACCAAAACCCAAGUGAUUGAGCAUCACUAAAGAAGUUAUUCCUGUGUGGAACCGACGCUUGUUACCUUUGAGGACUAUGCAUCCUCCAGACGGCUAGGCGUCAUGAUCUAGAGCAUCGAACAGUCAAUUGUGGAUCGCUGGGUGACCGAGUUUGUGAGGGUGUGGAAGUCUGCCCAAAAGACUUACCACGAGUGUUGGGCGAGCAUUGUGUGUCCUUAGCUCAAGGAGAAUACGGUAGGGAAUGUGUUUCCCCGGACUGUGUGUCCUUUGGUUUCAAUACCAAGCCGCUCCAAACCAGACUUGCAACUGACACAUCAGUUGGGACCGAGUCAUCAACAAGUGUCUUCAUCAAACUACUGGUUCCAUUUCCUCAACUCUCUCAUUUCCUCAAUUGCAUGUUGAAGACUUUCAUCUGUACUGUUUGAAAAUUUUGACUGAAGACUUUCUCUGAAUUCCUCACCUCAAAUUUUUCGCCUAAGUUAUUCUUCACCUACUUAUCAUAUACUUGUGACCUGUGCAACCCGAUUCUCUAAAGUCACGCUGAGUACUUUGUUGUAGUCGUUUUUGCACUUCUGACUUAGUACUAUUUCCGCUGCACUCAGUUCAUGACUCAGGACUUUCCUCACUAGGAAUUUCCUUAGUGAUGAAAUUGUAAAAAUCGCCUAUUCACCCCCUCUAGUCGAUAUAAUGCACUUUCAAAGCAGCGCCAAAACUUUCAAGCAAGCAACAGUUAACAAAGCAUUGCCAUGCCAAGACACCUUUACCAAACCUCAGUUAGCUCCUAGUGGUAUGUGGAAAGCACGACAGCUGAAAUACUACAGGAGAUAUAAUGGUUUGUGUUAUAGUAGUGGAGACAAGUUUUCUCCAGGGCAUGUAUGUGCCAACAAACAAGCAACCCAAGUGAAGGUGAUCAACAUGGCACAUGAAGUAGCACAACUUAAUGAUGCGGUGUUAGAUGCCAUUUUUACUGAAGAACAUGUCAAAGAAGCAGCUGCCUACUUGUCAGAUAAUGCCGUCACAGGCACUACCAAUACUAAAACAAUACAACUCAGAGCACUCGUGGGCAAUCAAGUUAUGAUGUUACUAAUUGCCUAUGGGAGCUCGCACACAUUCUUAGACCAACAAUUGGGAGACAAACUUCAGUGUCCCACUAUAAAUUUACCUAGUCCCAUGACAGUCAAAGUAGCAAAUGGGGAGAAGCUUCGGUGUACUCACAUGGUGCAAGGGCUGAACUGGUGGAUACAGGGGCAUACAUUUUCCACUGACAUGAGAAUCUUCAAUUUGGGAGGGCAUGAUGCCUUCUUGGGCAUAGAUCAGCUGUCUCAAUGGAGUCCAAUGACAUGUCACUCGGAAGAGCAAUGGGUGCAUUUUUAGGAAAAGGACACUGAUACAUCUCAAACGUAUCUAUAAUUUUUGAUGGUUUCAUGAUGUUAUCUUGUCAUCCUUGGAUGUUUUAUGUACCUUUUAUAUCUUUUUUGGGACUAACUUAUUAAUUCAGUGCCAAGUGCCAGUUCCUGUUUUUUCUGUGUUUUGGCUCUUUUCAGAUCUGAUUUUGGAACGGAGUCCAAACGGAAUAAAAUCCCCGAAAUGAUUUUUUCCCGAACGGAAGAAGAUCAGGGGGCUUGAGGGCCAAGCCACAAGGGCUACAGGGGGCCCACAAGCCCCCUAUCCGCCACCAGGGAGGCGGCGGAUGGCAGGCUUGUGGCCUCCCUGGCGCCCCCCUGACCUAGAUCCUUCACCUAUAUAUUCCCCAAAAUACAGAAAAAAAAUCAAGGGAUCCACGAAAAUAAUUUUCCGUUGCCGCAAGCUUCCGUUUCCGCGAGAUCUCAUCUAGAGACCCUUCCCGGUGCCUUGCCGGAGGGGACUUUGGAGUUGGAGGGCUUCUACAUCAACAUCAUCGCCCCUCCAAUGACUCGUGAGUAGUUCACUUCAGACCUACGGAUCCAUAGUUAGUAGCUAGAUGGUUUCUUAUCUCUCUUGGAUCUUCAAUACAAAGUUCUCCAUGAUCUUCAUGGAGAUAUAUCCGAUGUAAUCCUCUUUGGCGGUGUGUUUGUCGAGAUCCGAUGAAUUGUGGAUUUGAGAUCAGAUUAUCUAUGAUAUAUAUUUGAGUCUUUGCUAAUUUCUUAUAUGCAUGAUUUGAUAUCCUUGUAAGUCUCUCUGAGUCUUGGGUUUUGUUUGGCCAACUAGAUCUAUGAUUCUUGCAAUGGGAGAAGUGCUUGGUUUUGGGUUCUUAUCGUGUGGUGACCUUUCCGAGUGACAGUAGGGGCAGCAAGGCACACAUCGUGUAGUUGCCAUCAAGGGUAACAAGGUGGGCUUUGUUGUAGAUAUGAGAUUGUACAUCUACAUCAUGUCAUCUUGCUUAAGGCGUUACUCUGUUCUUUUGGACUUAAUACACUAGAUGCAUGCUGGAUAGCGGUCGACGUGUGGAGUAAUAGUAGUAGAUGCAGAAAGUAUCGGUCUACUUGUUUUGGACGUGAUGCCUAUAGGUAUAAUCAUUGCCAUAGAUGAUGUCAUGACUUUGCGCGGUUCUAUCAGUUGCUCGGCAGUAAUUUGUUCACCCACCGUCUACUUGCUUUCAGGAGAGAAGCCACUAGUAAACACUACGGCCCCCGGGUCUAUUCACACCUAUCGCUUCCACUUUUGCUUUUACUUUGCUUUGUUACUUUGUUGCUUUCAGUUCUCACUUGGCGAACAAUCUAUAAGGGAUUGACAACCCCUUCAUAGCAUUGGGAGCAAGCUUUUUGUGUUUGUGCAUGCACUUGAGAUACUCCUUCACUGGAUCGAUACCUUGAUUCUCAAACUGAGGGAAAUACUUACCACCGCUGCGCUACAUCACCCUUUCUGCUUCGAGGGAACACCAACACAAGGCUCCAAGGCCACGGGGGAAAUCCUUUGCAUAUUUUCCUAGGAAGUCCCUUAAGGCGUAGCCGUAGCAGAAGGAUUCCUGGUGCCGUUAACACGCCUAUUUCUGGCGCCAUUGGAAGGUCUUUUGUUGCAGUAGCAGAAGUAUUUCUGGCGCCGUUGUCGGGGAAGGAGAGAUCUAUCUAAGUGGGUCUCACAAACUCAUCUCUUGCAUUUACUUUUUUGCCAGUGGCCUCUUGUUUUCCUCUCCCCCACUUCACAUUUGCCGUUUUUAUUUUCUUUUCUCCUUUGCCGUUUUUCUUUUGCCUUUUUCCUUUUUUCCGUUUUCCUUUGCCGGUUUUCUUGCUUGCUUGUGUGAUUGUUUGUUUGUUGAAGUCAUCAUGGCUGAAAACACCAAACUUUGCGACUUCUCGAGUACCAAUAAUAAUGAUUUUAUUAGUACUCCGAUUGCUCCCGCCACUAGUGCGGAAUCGUAUGAAAUCAACGCAGCUUUGUUGAAUCUUGUUAUGAAAGAGCAAUUCCUGGGCCUUCCUAGUGAAGAUGCCGCAUCCCAUCUCAAUACCUUCAUUGUGCUUUGUGAUAUGCAAAAUAAAAGAGAUGUGGAUAAUGACGUGAUUAAGUUGAAACUUUUUCCUUUCUCGUUGCGAGAUCGCGCAAAAACUUGGUUUUCGUCUUUGCCUAAAAAUAGUAUCGAUUCUUGGGAUAAGUGCAAAGAUGCUUACAUAUCCAAGUAUUUUCUGCCGGCUAAGAUCAUCUCCUUACGUAAUGAUAUCAUGAAUUUCAAGCAACUUGAUCAUGAACACGUUGCACAAUCUUGGGAGAGGAUGAAGCUUAUGAUUAGAAAUUGUCCCGCUCAUGGCUUGAGUUUGUGGAUGAUUAUACAAAUCUUUUAUGCUGGCUUGAAUUUCGCUUCUUGCAAUAUCUUGGACUCCGCCUCAGGUGGAACGUUCAUGGAAAUCACGCUAGGAGACGCUAGAAAACUCCUAGACAAUAUCAUGACCAACUACUCUCAGUGGCACACUGAAAGGUCACCUGCUAGCAAAAAGGUACACGCUAUAGAAGAAAUUAACUCGCUUAGUGCUAAGAUGGACGAGUUGAUGAAUUUGGUUGCUAGUAGAAACGCUACUGUAGAUCCUAAUGACAUGCCACUAUCUUCUUUGAUUGAGAGUAGCAACACUAGUUUGGACGUGAAUUUUGUUGGUAGGAACAAUUUUGGCAACAACAAUGCUUUUAGAGGAAACUAUGUUCCUAGGCCUUUUCCUAGUAGCUCCUCUAACAACUAUGGCAAUUCCUACAACAAUACUAAUGGAAAUCACAACAAAUUACCCUCUGAUUUAGAGAUUAAUAUCAAAGAGUUCAUCAACUCUCAAAAGAUUUUCAAUGCGUCCAUAGAGGAAAAACUACUCAAAAUAGACGAUUUGGCUAAGAGCGUUGGUAGGAUGUCUUGUGAUAUUGAUGCUUUGAAAGUUAGAUGUGCUCCUCCCAAGGUCAACUUGGAUGAAACUUUGAAAGCUAUGCGUGUCACCAUGAAUGAGAGCAAAGAAAGAACCGCCCAAAUUCGCGCUAGGCAUGAAUGGUUUAAAAGGGUGCGUUCUAGUGAUGCAAAUCACGAAGAUCUUAAAGUGCUUGUUGUGUCUCCUAUUGAAUCUUUGUUUUCGCGUGUCAAACCUAUUGAUGGAGGGGCUGGAUAUGAAUCCACUUUGGUUGAAAAACGCCCCAAUGAUUCGGAGUCCACCUAUCUUGAUGAUAUAGGUGUGGAGAGUGGAGUAGAAGAAAUCAAGAUUUUGGGUAGUAAUGAAACUCCCACUUUGGAUUUCAAGGAAUUCAAUUAUGAUAAUUGCUCCUUGCUUGAAUGCAUUUCUUUGAUGCAAUCCAUUGCAAACUCUCCACAUGCUUAUUGCCAAAGCAAAGCCUUUACCGCACAUAUCGUAGAUGCUAUGAUGAAAUCUCUUGAAGAGAAGCUCGAACUAGAAGUCUCUAUACCUAGAAAACUUCAUGAUGAGUGGGGACCUACUAUCAAAAUCAAGAUCAAAAACUAUGAGUGCAAUGCUUUGUGUGAUUUGGGUGCUAGUGUUUCCGCGAUUCCAAAGUCUUUAUGUAAUAUUCUUGGUUUUCAUGAGAUUGAAGAGUGUUCUCUUAAUUUGCAUCUUGCGGAUUCAACUGUCAAGAAACCCAUGGGAAGGAUCGAUGAUGUUCUUAUUGUUGCAAAUAAGAACUAUGUACCCGUUGAUUUCAUUGUACUUGACAUAGAUUACAAUCCUUCAUGCCCCAUUAUUCUUGGUAGACCUUUCCUAAGGACUAUUGGUGCUAUCAUUGAUAUGAAGGAAGGGAAUAUUAGAUUUCAAUUUCCUUUAAAGAAGGGCAUGGAGCACUUUCCUAGAAAGAAAAUAAGAUUGCCUUAUGAAUCUAUGAUGAGGGCUACUUAUGGUUUGAGCACCAAAGAUGACUAUACGUGAUUCCAUCACCUUUUGCCUAGCUAAGGGUGUUAAACAAAAGCGCUUGUUGGGAGGCAACCCAACGAAUCUAUCCUUUUUUCUUUCUGCUUUGUGUUUUCCACACUUUCAUAAUUCUGUUAUGAAUGUGUUUUUUGUGUUUCUUUUUGCGUUUGUGCCAAGCAAAACCGUUAUGAUUAGUCUUGGGGAUGAUCGUUUGGUCAUGCUGGAAAAGACAGAAACUUUCAACUCACGAAAAGAAUUUUCAUUUUUAUUGUAAGAGAUUUUGAGUUGAUUCUUUUUGCUGCUGAUUGCUACGCAAAUUCUUCAGACUGUCGUAAUUUUUCAGAAUUUUUCAAGUACCAGAAGUAUACGAAAUAUACAGAUUGCUACACACUGGUCUGCUGUUAACAGAUUCUAUUUUUGUUGUGUUGGUUGCUUAUUUUGAUGAAACUAUGGAUAGUAUCGGGGGGUAUUAGCCAUGGAAGAUUGAAAAUACAGUAAACCAACAUCAGCAUAAGUAGAAUUUAAAUUUUCUACAAUACCUAAGGAAGUGGUGGUUUGCUUUCUCAUACUAAUGUUAUCACGAGUUUCUGUUUAAGUUCCGUGUUGUGAAGUUUUCAAGUUUUGGGCGAAGUUCUUAUGGACAAAGAGAUAAAGAGUGGCAAUAGCUCAAUCUUGGGGAUGCCCGAGGCACCCGAAGAGAUUCAAGGAUGCCAUAAAAUCCUAAUCUUGGGGAUGCCCUGGGAAGGCAUCCCCUCUCUCGUCUUCAAUCAAUCGGUAACGUUACUUGGGGCUAUAUUUUUAUUCACCACAUGUUAUGUGUUUUUGCUUGGAGCGUAUUGUAUCGUAGGAGUAUUUUUUUUUGUGUCACAAUCAUCCUUGCUGCACACCUAGAGAGAGAGACAUGCACUCACCGUGAUUUUGUCGACCUUCACUUAUAUCUUUUGGUAGACAAUUCAGCUCACAUGUGCUUCACUCAUAUCUUUUGAGCUAGAUACUUUUUCUCUAUGUGCUUCACUUAUAUCUUUUAGAGCACAGCGGUGCGUGGCUUGGUAGUUGAUCUAUGCUUUGAAAGUAGUCUCAAAAGGGGUAGUUAUCCAAAGGGAUACGAAAACUUCCACCUUCAUGUGCAUUGAAUAGUUAGAGAAGUUUGAUUUAUCUCAAUUAGUUUUAAGUUGUGGUUUUGGUAAUAUUGAAGUCAUGCUAGUAAGGUGUUGUGGAUCUAGAAAUACUUGUGUUGAAGUUAAUGAUUCCCGUAGCAUGCGCGUAUGGUGAACCGCUAUGUUAUGAAAUCUGAGCAAUUAGUCUAUUGAUUGUCAUCCUUUGCGUGGCGGUCGGGAUCGCGCGAUGGUUUAUACCUACCAACCCUUCCCCUAGGAGUAUGCGUUGAAUGUUUUGUUUCGAUUACUAAUAAAACUUUUGCAAGAAGUAUAUGAGUUCUUAAUGACUAAUGAUGAGUCCAUGGUUUAGAUGCACUUUCACCUUCCACCAUCACUAUCUUCUUAGUGCCGUGCAACUUUCGCCGGUGCACAAAACCCACCAUUAGCCUCCCUCAAAACAGCCACCAUACCUACCUACUAUGGCUUUUUCAAAGUCAUUCCGAGAUGUAUUGCCAUGCAACUACCACCAUGACAUGUGCCACCACGUCUACAUUGCCAUUGCAUGAUCAUAAGAUAGCUAGCAUGAUGUUUCCAUUAAUGUCUACGCCAUGCUAGAUCAUUGUCACGGUACACUACCGAAGACAUUCCAUAUAGAGUCAUCGUUGCUCUAAGUUUUGAGAUGAAAGUGUGAUGAUCAUCAUUAAUGGAGCAUUGUCCCAUGUGAGUAAAUAAAAGAGGCCAAAGAUGCCCACCAAAAAAAAGAGGCCAAAGAGCCCACCAAAAAAUAUAUAUAUGAGAGAAAAAGAGAGAAGGGACAAUGCUACCACUUUUCCACACUUGUGCAUAUUAAGCACCAUGAUCUUCAUGAUUGAGAGUCUCCCGUUUUUUCACCACCAUAUAGCUAGUGGGAAAUUUUCAUUAUAUAACUUGGCUUGUAUAUUCCAAUGAUAGGCUUCCUCAAAAUUGCCUUAGGUCUUCAUGAGCAAGCAAGUUGGAUGCACACCCACUAGUUUUCUUUAAGAGCUUUCACAUACUCUUAGCUCUAGUGCAUAAUUUGUAUGGCAAUCCCUACUCAUUCACAUUGAUAUCUAUUGAUGAGCAUCUCCACAGCUCAUUGAUAUGCCUAGUUAAUGUGAUCAUCUUCUCCUUUUUUGGUCUUGCAACCUCCACCACACUCCACACCACUUAUAGUGCUAAAACCAUGGCUCACGCUCAUGUAUUGCGUGAGAGUUGAAAAGGUUUGAGAAAGUAAAGGUGUGAAACAAUUACUUGGCCAAUACUGGGGUUGUGCAUGAUGUAAAUUCAUUGUGCAAUGACGAUAGAGCAUAGCUAGACUAUAUGCUUUUGUAGGGAUAACUUUCUUUUGGCCUUGUUAUUAUGAAAGUUCAUGAUUACCUUGCUAGUUGGCUUGAAUUAUUAUUGUUUCCACGUCAAUAGCAAACUAUUGUUUUGAAUCUAAUGGAUCUGAACAUUCACGUCACAUAAGAGGAGUUACAAAGGACAUCUAUGCUAGGUAGCAUGAAAGCAUCAAAAAUUCAUUCUUUAUCACUUCCCUACUCGAGGACGAGCAGGAGUUAAGCUUGGGGAUGCUUGAUACGUAUCUAUAAUUUUUUAUGGUUUCAUGAUGUUAUCUUGUCAUCCUUGGAUGUUUUAUGUACCUUUUAUAUGUUUUUGGGGACUAACUUAUUAAUUCAGUGCCAAGUGCCAGUUCCUGCUUUUUUUGUGUUUUUGGCUCUUUUCAGAUCUGGUUUUGGAACGGAGUCCAAACGGAAUAAAAUCCCGAAAUGAUUUUUUCCCGAACGGAAGAAGAUCAGGGGGCUUGAGGGCCAAGCCAGGAGGGCUACAUGGGGCCCACAAGCCCCCUAUCCGCCACCAAGGGGUGGCGG